GCAUGGAUAUGAUGAAUAGUUGCUCUGCCUAAUUUGCAAAUUUGAAGUUCUCUAUCAAGUUUAGACAUAACUGUUAUAAUUUAAAGCUUGCUCUAGAUCUAAACUUGUGGGAUGAAAACUUGAUCUAAAAUCUAAGUUGUUAACGGAUAUGAUAUGGGAAGGUUGAGCUGCUGUUUAUCUGUUCCUAGAGAUGCUAGAAUUCUGGAGAAUUUUAUCUUUGAAAAAUAUGUAAAAUAUUGCAUGAUGAGUUCCUGUAUGAUGAGAGUUUAAAUUCCUACCACAGCCAUAUAUACAUGCUUGCUAGACUUUGAGCCACACAUUUACUAUUUACUGCUUAUGAGCAUUGAGUGUGGUCAAGCUGUGUAGACCCUUAGGAGCUUGUCAUGUGGUUAAAUCAAGAUUCACUUGCACGUUCACUCAUAUAUGCUACUUCUACUCUGGAAGUACCAUCCACAUAUAUCCAUCCAUGUCCAUCUACAGAACCACCCAAAAAUAUUCUACUCCUAAUCCGGGAGAGAAUAGCCAAAAAUAUUUCUGUUUUCCCUUGUGAAAUAAAUGCUCAAGUUAUCUUGCUACUACCAAUUGCUAUAUUAUCUCAAGAGAUGAGUGCUCUGGAAAAAAGAAAAGAGAAGAAAAGAAAAAAAAAUUAACGAGGAAAUAAAAAGGGGCAAGUGCCCGGAACCUCGAAAGAAAGAAAAAGUGAGACGAGAGGUAAAAAUGGACAAGUGUCUGACAGUAGAAUUAGGGGUACAAGAUACCCACCUGAGAGGAAAGAAAAAGAAGAGCAUCUCAUUCUUCUCAUAAAGUUUCAAAAAGCAAGGAAGGUAUGUAUCCCCUCAAAAGAGCAAAAGUAGAAUUAGACUUUCACCAUUGUUAGCACCAUCAUCACCAUACACCAUUCAUUCGCCACACAUGCACAUCUUGAUUUGGCUUAUUGAUUUGUUUCUUUGGAUCCAUGGUUUGACUAUACAAUAAAUGUCUUUUAAGUAUGUAUACUUUAUCUCCCACCUAUGAGCUCAGAUAUUAAAGCCUUAUUAGAGUAGGGUGAGAGAGAAGGCAAUGUCACUAUGCCUUAUACCACAAAUACCACAUAUCUUGAGAGAAGGCAUAUACCAUCACUGCCUUUGUAAGGAUCCAGAAAUACCACAAAAGAGAGAUUUAGAGAUUCAUACAAGGAAUCUCUGAGUUUUAUUUGAAAAUCUGCAAAAACUCCAGAGCUAUAGCUGAUCAAGAAUAAGAGACAUGGCACUUGGCUAGACUGUUCUAUCUUUUAACUACUCAAGAUAGAAGUGAUUGUUACAAGUCCCAUGGUGAAACGUAAAGUAAGUAAGUUUUAGUUCUUGACAGUUUACUCUAACUCAGAGAUGAGAUCUUAUUUAAAAGCAUGUGUACCAUCAAUUUUUUAAGAUAUUGCAACAACUUCUGAUCCAUUGCUGAGUCUAUCCUUGCUCAGGGACGAGCAAGAGGUAAGCUUGGGGGAGUUUGUUGACGGUCCUUAAGUAUCAAAUUUAAUUAUCAAAUAAACAAAGAAAAGGAUCCAAAUGAAAUCAACAUCUAGACUUAGGGUUUUAUCUGACAUAAUUCCACGAGUUUUGGUGUUUGUCUAUUUCUGCAGGGGGUUAUCAGGAAAUACGGAAGAAAGACCCACACGUUGGGAUUAUAUAGAGAUAUUAACGUGCCACGCAAUUAUCUUACAUCUAGAAGACUCCAGAAGCCACGGGAAGGAAGCAGAGGCCGAAUGGGGCCAGAGGCAGUGCGCCCACCCUCCUGCCCUGGGUGCCCGCCCUGACUUGGAGCCCAAUCAAGACUCUUUCUAUCGGGAGAUCUCCACCGACCUAAAGGACCAAGGAUAACCGUUCAAUCAAUGUCGGUUUGAUCCGACGGCCCAGGUUCAAUUGAAGUGACUAUAUAACCAGACCCCCUAGCCCCUGGAGGAGACACACCCCUUGAUCAUUAUUCAUUAUUCAUAGAUAGAGCAAAAGCUAGGGUUUAGAGAUGAGAGCUCUCCUCUCUUCUCUAAACUAGAGUAGAUCUAGAUAGUAGCAAGAUGGAGAGCCAAGGAGGAUUAGAGGAGAGGCCGGCCUGUUGGUUCUUCCUCCAGUUGUACUUCGUCAUGAUCAAGCUCUAAUCAAGCUUGCUCAUGGGAUGACUCUGGUAAUCUACUUCUAAUUCAUUAUGCAAUUACUAAUCAUGUAUGUUCUGGUUCACAACUCUUUUGAGUACUUCUAAUCUAUAGGACGCUAUAGGUUAGAGUUGUAGUAUAGGUGUAAGCGAUGUGCUUAGAUCUAGAUUACUUGUGGAUAUCCCCUGUCUAGUUAGAUCGUGUGGUAGGCCGCGUAGGCAACAAUUACGUUGGUCCUCUGUAGUCCACCUCUCGUUAGCAGGACGGGUAGGGUUUAUCAGCCUAUGGAUAAGCAUCCUUUUGUUGUAAUCUUAUCACGUGGUUCGUCCCAGACAUAGACAUACCCCUUUGAAGUAGAGAAACCAUAGUUAUCCUCUCUAUUCUGCUACCAUUGCCCAUAUACUAGAAUUGCUCUACUCUCUAUUCCCAUAUUAUCACUCACUGUUAUCUGACCUUUAAUAUUGUUCUUAUUCGAUUCUACCAUCUUUCCUAUUCACACCUAUCUAUCUAUCUUGGUUUAGUUAGAGCGUAGUUGGUUCUCCCGUUUCCCUGUGGAUACGAUAAAACCUUUAACCGGGUAAAAGCUUCAAUGGUAUCCGUGCGCUUGCGGAUUAUCUGUGUGUGUAUAAAUACCAUAGUACACUCUAGUGCCACGCUGGGGAUGACAACCUAGUAUUCAAGUGGUGUUAGCAAGUGUCAACAGUGCUUAUACCGUAUUUAUCUGCGAUUGUACCCAAUAUGCCAGAUCGUGGGGUAGUUCGUGAUAGUGACAGCUUCAUUGAUUCUUAUAUAGUCCCCCUCUCGUGUAUUGGGCUGGCAGAGCAAUAUUAUUACAGGGGAGUGAUUGCUAUGUUUCUCAUUUACAUUGCUAAUAUCACUAUGCAUGGGUGUAGUCUUGUCUUGCAAUGAUUGCUAAGUAUGCUUGCACUAAUUAUGAUAAUGCUAGACUAUAUAGUUGACAAUAACUUAGGGAAUAUUCUUGUAGUUCGUUCUAAUACCAUGCUAAUGACUUUCUAGAGUAUCUAAUUGAGGUGCUUAUCAUAUUUAUUAUGUGGCUAGAUCAAAUUAAUUAUACUUGUCACUAUUCAUUAUUUCAUAUAUCUUUUUAUGUGACACUUAUCCCUGUAUGAAAGAGUUAGAUAAAUUUUCUCAAUUAUACAUGCAAUGAUAGAUACUCAAUCUCAUAUUCUAUUCUGUAAUCAAUAUUGAUGAUUGUUAAUCCCUUCCCAGUGGUAAAAAUAUAAAUAACGAUACCUGGAAUACUUCCCGGUUAAAAUGCUACAUCGGUAUUAAUCUGUGCGCUUGCAGAUCUCAUUCAUUAUUUAUUUAGAAGAGCAAUUGCAUAUUUCAAUACCACGUCUCUCAUGUCAUGCUGGGGAUGACAACUUGGCUUAAGUGGUAUGAGGGAUAGGUUUGGCAUUUUUGGCACCGUUACUAGAUUUAGAGAACUUAGUCUACUCUUGGUAAUGAUGUUAAGAAUACCCAACAAGCAUUUUUGGCGCCGUUGUCGGGGAAGGUUGAUUACUAAUCAGGAAUGGAAUAAAGGAUUUUGAGUUAUCAUUCGCAUCACUAAUAUGAUUGAGCUUAUCUAUUCUCUCAUACAGUUUUACCCCGAUAUUUUUCUAUUUUAUCUUAUGCAGGGGAAUGUAUGAAUAGAAGACAUCUUCCAGGAAAUUUUGUUGACAAUCCCGAAGCAUUAUUCAAGAAGACGAGAGCCAAGCUCAAGAGGAGAUCAUCAACACUUCAGCAAGAAGCUUCAUCCAAUCAAGAAGAUCACUGGAACUUGUCUUCAGAGUUCGAAGCCGUGGCGAACAAAUCAAUCCGCGAGUUCUCAGCUCCCACUACGAACAACAUCCGCACUGGACCUGCUACAGAGAUCGAUGGAAACUUUGAGCUCAAGCCUGGUCUUAUCAACAUGGUGCAAUCCAACCAGUUCUGUGGGAAGCCACAUGAAGAUGCUAGUGCUCAUCUACAACACUUCCUGGAGAUUUGCAAAACAUUCACCAUAUCAGGAGUCUCCAGAGAUGCUAUACUACUUUGCCUCUUCCCAUUCUCACUGUUAGGAAGAGCGAAGCAGUGGUUCUACGCUACAAAGGAGAAGAAUACUACGUGGGCACUCUGCUCAACAAACUUCCUGGCUAAGUUCUUUCCCAUGGGCAAGACCAAUGCUCUCCGUGGGAAAAUUACAAGUUUUCAGCAACAAAAUGAUGAAUCUGUUCCAGAAGCAUGGGAGCGCUUCCAAGACUACAUCCUAGAAUGUCCCCAUCAUGGAAUGGAGAGUUGGCUACUGAUGCAGACGUUUUAUCAUGGGCUCGGCAACAGUGCCCGAGAGACCAUGGAUGCUGCAGCUAGAGGAGCAUUCUUAUCACUUACCAUAUCACAAGCCACAGCUCUUGUGGAGAAGAUGGCGUCCAACCAAGCCUGGAAUGAAGAGAGGACCCAGACACGCAAGAGAGGUGGAGGUAUGCAUCAGCUCAAGGAGGUAGACAUGCUGUUUGCAAAGCUAGACCUGCUCAUGAAGAAGCUCGACGAUAGAGCUGGAGAUAAGAAAGAAGUUAUGCACAUCUACGACUCUCACAUGAUUUGUGAGGAGUGUGGAGAUACUGGACACUCAGGCAAUCACUGCCCUGAGAUGCUUGAGGAUGUGAACUACAUCAACAACAACAACAACAACUACUACUACUACAACCGUCCUCAACAAAAUCAAGGCUGGAAUCAACAGAGGCCUAACUACUCUGGUAAUUAUUAAGGUAACAAUUCUUACAACAAUAAUAAUAAUUUUCCACUUCUGAGAGAGUUAGUGUCUAAUCAAGGAAAGCUAAUGGAUAACCUAUCUAAGAAAUUGGCAUCUAAUGAUAAAAUGCUAAAAAUAUAAAUAAUAGAAUGGAUAAUUUCUCUACUGCCAUCAAGAAUCAAAUUAGCUUUCAUAAAAUGAUUGAAUCCCAGUUAAAUCAAAUAGCUGCUGUUGUUCCUACUACUAACCCCGGUAUACCAUCACAACUGGAAGGAUUAGAAUCUGCAAAUCUUGUAGACAUGUUUGAUGCAGGUAUUUAGAGUAACCCCGUCACUGAAUUCAUUACUGACCUUCUGCCGGUCAAGAGAGGUGAUCCAGGACACCCCGUCAUCCCGAUCUCCAUCGGCAUGGUGGACGUCCCAGAAGCACUCUGCGACUUUGGCUCUAGUGUCAACAUUAUACCCAGGGUACUCUAUGAAAAAAUCUUUACAUAUCCUUUAUUAGAGACAACCAUGUGUUUGCAGUUUGCAGAUCAGACGAUAAGUUUUCCAAAAGGAAUAUUAAAGAACAUUUGUGUCCGAGUUGGUACCUUGUACGCCCCAGCAGACUUCGUAGUGGUAGAGACCGGUAAUGAUGAGAGAGCACCUAUCAUCUUAGGGAGGCCAUUCUUAAACACCACGGGAGCUAUCAUCUACGCCAGUGCUGCCAAGAUCAGUUUCUACAUCAAAGGGAGGAAGGAGACAUUUUUCUUCAAGAACAAGACUACACAAAUCCCAGAUCAAUCCAGACGUGAAUCAAGGAAGAGGACCAAUAGGAGGAACAGGAACAAGCAAGUGUUGACCGAGUCAGCUAAGAUGGUCACUGUAGUUCAUGGAGGCCAAGAUCAUAAACUCAAGUCACCGUUUUUGACUAAGAAGGACGACCCAGGAAUGCCAAGCAUCUAUUGCUCCAUAAAUGGAUACAGCUUCUACAAGACGUUUUGCGACACCGGAUCGGGCGUCAACAUAAUGGCCGUAGUCACCUAUCGGCUCUUGUUCGGAACCAUGCCCCUAAGACCAUCAUACAUUCAGCUCCAGAUGGCAGAUCAGACAUUUCGAGAGGUUAAAGGAACAAUAAUUGAUGUCCCAGUCAAAAUAGACGAUCAUUUUGUCUACACAGACUUUCAAGUUAUUGACAUGGGAGAAGAUGAGUACGAUCCACCCAUCAUCCUUGGAAGACCGUUCCUCAGCACUGUUAAAGCAAUUAUCUACAUUGGAACCGGAGAAGUCCAUAUGCACUUCCCCUCAGAGAGGUACGCCAUUAUUUUACUGACCCUAACUAUAUCUUUGAAGAAUCUAAGCAGGUAAGAAAAUAACGCAACCGCAACCAGAGGAGGCAGAUCAUCAAGGACGGAUGGGCAGACUACGAAGGAGAAGUUGUAAGAUCAGAAGACGUAGAGUUUAAAUAGAAUUAUCCAGAGGAGACCGAAGCACCGAGUCACCUAUCUUGGAAUGGCACACGAUUUAUGUUAAUUGUGUGUUGGUUGUAUCAAAUUAGGUUCCCUCUCUUAGGAGCCAAGCUUAUAGACUUGACUAUUAGUUUUUGAAUGUUUGAGCAUCCAUGUCGAUGCUUGAUAUGUAAACCCAUAUCCAGACCCUUAAGUGUUUGCAUAUACCACGGUUGUCCUACACCAGUUUGCAAAUAUCCUUGUCCAGCAAACUAGCUAGUGUCCUACACCAGUUUGCAAAUAUCCUUGUCCAGCAAACUAGCUAGGAUAAGUCCUCGCUACAUAAAGCAUUUGACUAUAGUUGUUCCUUGCUAGUUACGGAGACCAUACCAAAUCCAUGUUGGCCCUCCCGGUUGCCUCUCCCAAAGCUUAGUGUAAUACCCGAUUUUAAAGACAAAACCAGAUAUGCACCAUAUGCGAGUUUUAAAAGCCAAGCCUCACCUAUAGCUAAAAAUAAGGGGUAAUAUCAAAAGACAAUGCAUAAAUUAUAUAACGUACUUAGUAUAAAAGAGAUAACCUUUGAUAAAAAACAACGGAUAGACAACUCCAAACUUCAGGUAUUAACUUCACUCUACAGGAUCCAACUGACUGGUUGAUCACAAGCCCAAAACUUCUCUUGAGGUGUGGGGGAAAUUGCAAGAGUGAACACAUAUCGUACUCAACAUGUAUAACCAGGGGUUCAUGAGGCUCAAAUAGCUGACACUGGUUUGACUGCAUGUAGCUUUUAUAUGUAGAUAGCAUAUUUAUCAUUGGAUAGCAAAUGUCAAGGUAGCAUAAUUAAAUCCCAUAACCACAUGAUCAAUGUAUACAAGAAUUAAGAAUAACACAUAUAAACAACAUAAUAAACCAUCCUUUAUUAUCAUUAAUCAUGUUCAUCAGUGUCCAUCUAUUCCGUCAGUUUUUCGGGCCGCCCGUAUCCGUGGGCACGGCUAGUAUACCAGAUUUAACACUCUGCAGAGGUUAUACAUCUUUACCCAUGAGUCAUGAUUUACCCUUUCGCCCGAGGCCCGUCGACCUCAUAGCUCACAUCCGAGGAAAGCCGGCAGGGUUCACUAUGAAGUCUUUCAAAGGUUCGUCUAACAAGUUAGGGCCGGAAGGUUUCCUUUGCACACAGAUAUAGAUACCCCCCUUCCAAAUGGCACAAUGACGCGCAGCCUAUACACAUAAGGACAGGGGCUCGCACUAUACCCAAAACGGUUCAGCCCCUCCGCCCAUUCGGGUAACCUCUAACAAGCUAGAAAAUCUUACUCAUACUUGACUAAAGCCAGAGCCAUAUAGCCCUCAUGGUUGUACGAGUUGUCCCAACUUUUGCCAAGGGAUAAGUCCUUAUGGAGGGUUAAGAUCAAUCCAGCAAAAGCCAGAGUUCUUUCCACCCUUUAUAUUCAAGUUGCUAGAAAGCUUAUUUUAUUGUUUAUUGUAUAUUCAAAUAUUCAUGUUACAAGAUCAUGGAUUAUAUUCAAGCACUAGCAAGAACUACCCAAAUGCAUAUCCAAAAUAGGCAACAAGGAAUUCAGGAUAACAAUCAUCUAUGAUUUUGCUAAGGUCAUCAAGGUGGACACAUGCAUAUGAUAAAUGUUAUAUUAAUUGUGUAUAGGAAACAAGGAUGAUCCCCAGUUAUACUUGCCUUGAUCAAAGCUCUCCUGAGCCUGAUGUUGGUCGUCAAAAGCUUGACCUUGAUCACCAACGUAAAGCUCACCGACUAAACUCGAUCAUCAAUCAACAACACGCAAUCCAAUGUAGGCAAUCAUAAACGAAGCAAACAAGCUAUAAUUAGAACAAUACACCAAACAGUGGUAAAACAAAUAUAAAAGUUUAUUAAAGUAUUCUACGCAGCGCUACGAUCACAUAAACGUAAAGUUCGCGAAAAUCGGAGCUAAAACGGAAAAGUUAUGAAUUUUCUAAGAUUUUAUGUUGAAAAGAAAUUAAUUAAUUAAAGUCACGAAAUUAAAAAGUUUGAAACUAAGUAAACAAUUUUACUAACAUGUAGAGCUCAUGAUUAUGAACGUUACGCAAUUUGAAUGGGUCAAAACGGAAUUAAAAUGAAUACUUUUUGAUCAAUUAAAAUCUAGUGGCAAUUCUGUAAAUAGCGAAAACGUAAUUAGAACUGAGCCGAGAGAAAAUACGCUUUCAAAAUUGAGAAACGGCUUUCCCAGAUGACGCCAAGGACCGCAGGUUGAGCAUUGAAUCUUCCAGGGGCUCUUUAAGAAAAACACCAGCGAAGGGGUAUCUUCUAAUCUGGAUCGUUGAUCCACGAUCCAACGAUUGAGAUUCGAUCUAGGGGGAGGGAGAGGGGAUGGCUGGCCGGAAGAGAAACAACGGCGCGGUGGUGCCAUUGACGAGAGUCCUGCUCCUCGCCGGCGUUCGUGGAGAAGGCGCUAGGGACCAUGGUUUUCGAUGGGAAAAGAACCAGGGCGUAGAGGACCUCUAUGCGAACUCACCUAGGGGCUUCACGGGUCGGGGAGGAGCUCGGAAAAGGAUGUUCGACGCGAGGUGGCGCUCGGGUGCUCUGCAGACAGUUCGGGAAGGUUUAAGAGCAAUAGAUCGCGCUAGAGAGUAAAAGGAAGGGCUCAGCAUCUUCUUCACCUCAACCCGAAGCUCGGCAAGUGGUUUUCGGUGCUCUGGACGCAGCAGGUGGGGAAGCCCACGACGGCGGCGAAUUCGUUCAUCGGAGAGAUCUGAACCAAGGCGAGAGAGCUGCUGGGGCGGCUUCACGUCGCGUUAAACGGAAGAGGGGGUCGAGAGGGAGGGCACGGGGCUUUAUUGGCCUGGAGAAGAUCUCCUAACGCGUGAAAUCCCGACCUGAGCGGGAUUCGGUUUCCACCGAGAGCCCGGGGUCGGUGUGGACUCGAGGGAGAAGAAAGGAAGGGUGGGAGGGGAGACUGACACGCGGGCCCGGGAUGUCAGCGAACAGAGAGAGGAAGGGGAGGGAAGGGCGCGCGGCUGGGCUGUUGGGCCCAAGCAAGCUGGGCCGCGGGAAAAGAAGGAGGAGGCCUUCAGGCCGAUUUUCCAGGGAGAGGUGAGGGUUUCCUAUUAUUUUUUUCUUUUCUUUUGUUUAUUUCAAAGCCAUUUUCAAAUUCGUUAUAAAAUCACUUUGAAUUAUUUUUGAACUUUAAUAAAGCCACUCAGCACAAUAAUUAAAAUGCAUAAGCAUGAGUGCACAAAAAUGUUGCUACACCCUAUGAUUGAUUUUAAAUGACUAAAAAUAUUAUUUUUCCUAUAUUUUCAUGAGCACAAAAUACAAAAUUAAAUCAUUUUUCUCCUAUUUAAAAAGUUGUAGAUUUUUGGGUGUUACAAAUCUACCCCCUUAAAAUGAAUCUCAUCCUCGAGAUUCGAAAGAGCAUGGAUUCCAAAAGAGAAACAGGAAAAGAUCUUAAUACUCUUUCAACUUCACACUUGCAUUCCAACUGCAAACUCUUGUGUCUCGGGAUCAUAACUUAUGAACAAAGCUCCCAUAAGAUGUUUAUUAUUCAGAUUUGAUCAAAGUCUAUCUUGAAUUCCAACCUUUUGACUUACAACUCAAGAUCGUGAUAGCUUAGCAUAGAUUUGCCUCCUCAGGUAGGAGUGGACCACCUUGAUACUCGAUUCUUUUCCUUGAUGGUGCGGUUGAGAAAAUUUUCCACUGGAUAUCAUAGAUCACUCCUUUGUGUGCACAUGACCAUAAGAUACAUGAUAGUUUUAAAAACAUCAUCCCGUGAUAUCAAGGUACUACCCCCCUUAAGACGAGGUUGAUUGGGGGACACUAGGGACUAGUUCUCCUAUCCUUUUUAGAUGCUACACAUCAUAGUCUUUUAAAUUCCUUGUACCAAGUCUCUUAAUCCAGGGUUGGUUUCAACACUAAGUUCCAUCUAUUGGUACCUUUAUCGCAAUUAAGUUGUUUCACUCUCAUAUUGUAUAUGUAACUUUGUAGCCUUUGGUGUCAUCUGAUCCUCAUACACAACUCUUAAUCCAUGAGUAUCAGCAAUGACAUAUACCUCCAUGGAUAUUCUCUAAAUGAGAUGAUAUUCUUGAACCAAAAGAAAUUUACCCAGCGUUUGUGAUACUCACGUAUGAUCCAACACUAGUCAAUCCUUCUCGUUGUAACUCCUUUAACUAGGAUAUCCCCCUUAAGAAAAGUCAACUAGGGGACAAAAGGAAGGUAGCUUGCAUAUUUUCCAGACAAGUUGACUAGCACUGAGAGCUUUUGACAUCCCAAAGAACUUGUGUGCAAAAGAAUAAAUAGGUAUCCUGAAAUUUUCUCAUGAUAUGGAAACACCAGUGUAGUAAAACAGGUAUAACUCUUAUUCUGUCAUUCCAAUAGAGUUGUAGCUUAUACUGUUACAAAACUUAUGAAAUUCCCUACAACUUUCAUGUAGAAGACCUCCUUAGAUUCUGUCUUUAAGCUUAGGUAAAACAGUCAAACUUAAUAUCCAUCCUGACAAUGUCUCAGCAAAGGUGCAGUAACUUCCAGAGGUUAUAUCUCGAGCUCCUUAACUCAUCUGGAGAUGAUCCUUAUAUUGUUGAAAAGCUUAUGAAAUCCUCUACAUCUUUCGUGUACAACUCUUUCCCAGAUUCUGAAGUUAAUUUAGCUGAAAGUAGGAAAUACCAGAUCUGUCCAGAUUUUGAAACAGAAAAGAAACAUCCAAGUUUAAAUGUCAUAUCUCCGGUUCUACUUGUACAAUAAAGUUCCAGCUUAUACCGUUGGAAAGCCUAGCAAAUUGUCUAAUAAUUUUCUAUAGAACACGUUUCCAAAUUCUAUAGUUACAUAUGUCUAAACAGUAAGCAACCGAAACUGGUCCAGAUUCUUGACAGCCCAUCUGUAUCAUCUUGUGAUUUUUGUAACUUCCAAAUCAUUCUAGCUAUGAGGGUGAUUCUUGCGGUCAGAGAAAGAUCUUGAAGUCUAGUUGUUCCUAGAAAAAUUUGAUAAACUUUGCAUGAUCAGAACUUGAGAUACACCAGCAUUAUGGCAGACUACUUGAGAAAUCAGCAAGGGAUAGAAACAAGAGAUACCCAAACCCAACUGCUUAUUUCAUUACUCCUUAUGCCUUAGACCUAUAAACUAAAAGAUAUUAUGGAGAAAUCCUACAACAUCAUCGCACUCAUUACAAAGAUCCAAAUCAAGCAUAAGCAUAAUAACAAAACAAUUAAGCAUUGAAGGUUCACACUUCACUCAACUUGCGAUACUAUCGUUCUCUUCAUAAUAAGGGUAAGGAUCCUAAGAUUCUCUUUCAACUACGUAAAGCAGGUGGUAAGAAAAGAUUCUAAUAGCAUACCAAAUCAAAGAGUGAAGGUGGGAACAAGUACUUUUAAAAUAAGCAACAAGGUAAGGAUGAAUAGCGAUGGAAAGGAUAUAGUGGAGAGAAAAAUAUCAAGGCUUACAAAACAAGGAUUUUAUAACAAUUUCAAAAUCUUAAGACGACCAAUUUCUAACUAGGCUUGCAUCCUACAGCCAGCAUUGCUUUGAUACCACUUUGUAAUACCCGAUUUUAAAGACAAAACCAGAUAUGCACCAUAUGCGAGUUUUAAAAGCCAAGUCUCACAUAUAGCUACAAAUAAGGGGUAAUAUCAAAAGACAAUGCAUAAAUUAUAUAACGUACUUAGUAUAAAAGAGAUAACCUUUGAUAAAAAACAGCGGAUAGACAACUCCAAACUUCGGGUAUUAACUUCACUCUACAGGAUCCAACUGACUGGUUGAUCACAAGCCCAAAACUUCUCUUGAGGUGUGGGGGAAAUUGCAAGAGUGAGCACAUAUCGUACUCAACAUGUAUAACCAGGGGUUCAUGAGGCUCAAAUAGCUGACACUGGUUUGACUGCAUGUAGCUUUUAUAUGUAGAUAGCAUAUUUAUCAUUGGAUAGCAAAUGUCAAGGUAGCAUAAUUAAAUCCCAUAACCACAUGAUCAAUGUAUACAAGAAUUAAGAAUAACACAUAUAAACAACAUAAUAAACCAUCCUUUAUUAUCAUUAAUCAUGUUCAUCAGUGUCCAUCUAUUCCGUCAGUUUUUCGGGCCGCCCGUAUCCGUGGGCACGGCUAGUAUACCAGAUUUAACACUCUGCAGAGGUUGUACAUCUUUACCCAUGAGUCAUGAUUUACCCUUUCGCCCGAGGCCCGUCGACCUCUUAGCUCACUUCCGAGGAAAGCCGGCAGGGUUCACUAUGAAGUCUUUCAAAGGUUCGUCUAACAAGUUAGGGCCGCAAGGUUUCCUUUGCGCGCAGAUAUAGAUACCCCCUUCCAAAUGGCACAAUGACGCGCAGCCUAUACACAUAAGGACAGGGGCUCGCACUAUACCCAAAACGGUUCAGCCCCUCCGCCCUUUCGGGUAACCUCUAACAAGCUAGAAAAGCUUACUCAUACUUGACUGAAGCCAGAGCCAUAUAGCCCUCAUGGUUGUACGAGUUGUCCCAGCUUUUGCCAAGGGAUAAGUCCUUAUGGAGGGUCAAGAUCAAUCCGGCAAAAGCCAGAGUUCUUUCCACCCUUUAUAUUCAAGUUGCUAGAAAGCUUAUUUUAUUGUUUAUUGUAUAUUCAAAUAUUCAUGUUACAAGAUCAUGGAUUAUAUUCAAGCACUAGCAAGAACUACCCAAAUGCAUAUCCAAAAUAGGCAACAAGGAAUUCAGGAUAACAAUCAUCUAUGAUUUUGCUAAGGUCAUCAAGGUGGACACAUGCAUAUGAUAAAUGUUAUAUUAAUUGUGUAUAGGAAACAAGGAUGAUCCCCAGUUAUACUUGCCUUGAUCAAAGCUCUCCUGAGCCUGCUACUGGUCGCCAAAAGCUUGACCUUGAUCACCAACGUAAAGCUCACCGACUAAACUCGAUCAUCAAUCAACAACACGCAAUCCAAUGUAGACAAUCAUACACGAAGCAAACAAGCUAUAAUUAGAACAAUACACCAAACAGUGGUAAAACAAAUAUAAAAGUUUAUCAAAAUAUUCUACGCAGCGCUACGAUCACAUAAACGUAAAGUUCGUGAAAAUCGGAGCUAAAAUGGAAAAGUUAUGAAUUUGCUAAGAUUUUAUGUAGAAAAGAAAUUAAUUAAUUAAAAUCACGAAAUUAAAAAGUUUGAAACUGAGUAAACAAUUUUACUAACAUGUAGAGCUCAUGAUUAUGAACCUAACGCAAUUUGAAUGGGUCAAAACGGAAUUAAAAUGAAUAUUUUAUGAUCAUUUUAAAUCUAGUGGCAAUUCUGUAAAUAGCAAAAACGUAAUUAGAACUGAGCCGAGAGAAAAUACGCUUUCAAAAUUGAGAAACGACUUUCCCAGAUGACGCCAAGGACCGCGGGUUGAGCAUUGAAUCUUCUAGGGGCUCUUUAAGAAAAAGACCAGCGAAGGGGUAUCUUCUAAUCUCGAUCGUUGAUCCACGAUCCAACAACUGAGAUUCGAUCUAGGGGGAGGGAGAGGGGAUGGCUGGCCGGAACAGAAACAACGGCGCGGUGGCGCCAUUGACGAGAGUCCUGCUCCUCGCCGGCGUUCGUGGAGAAGGCGCUAGGGACCAUGGUUUUCGAUGGGAAAAGAACCAGGGCGUAGAGGACCUCUGUGCGAACUCACCUAGGGGCUUCACGGGUCGGGGAGGAGCUCGGAAAAGGAUGUUCGACGCGCGGUGGCGCUCGGGUGCUCUGCAGACAGUUCGGCGAAGGUUUAAGAGCAAUAGAUCGCGCUAGAGAGUAAAAGGAAGGGCUCAGCAUCUUCUUCACCUCAACCCGAAGCUCGGCAAGUGGUUUUCGGUGCUCUGGACACAGCAGGUGGCGAAGCCCACGACGGCGACGAAUUCGUUCAUCGUUGAGAUCUGAACCGAGGCGAGAGAGCUGCUGGGGCGGCUUGACGUCGCGUUAAACAGAAGAGGGGGUCGAGAGGGAGGGCACGAGGCUUUAUUGGCCAGGAGAAGAUCUCCUAACGUGCGAAAUCCCGACCUGAGCGGGAUUCGGUUUCCACCGAGAGCCCGAGGUCGGUGUGGACUCGAGGGAGAAGAAAGGAACGGUGGGAGGGGAGACUGACACGCGGGCCCGGGAUGUCAGCGAACAGAGAGAGGAAGGGGAGGGAAGGGCGCGCGGCUGGGCUGUUGGGCCGAAGCAAGCUGGGCCGCGGGAAAAGAAGGAGGAGGCCUUCAGGCCGAUUUUCCAGGGAGAGGUGAGGGUUUCCUAUUAUUUUUUUCUUUUCUUUUCUUUAUUUCAAAGCUAUUUUCAAAUUCGUUUUAAAAUCACUUCGAAUUAUUUUUGAACUUUAAUAAAACCACUCAGCACAAUAAUUAAAAUGCAUAAGCUUGAGUGCACAAAAAUGUUGCUACACCCUAUGAUUGAUUUUAAUUGACUAAAAAUAUUAUUUUUCCUAUAUUUUCAUGAGCACAAAAUACAAAAUUAAAUCAUUUUUCUCCUAUUUAAAAAGUUGUAAAUUUUUGGGUGUUACACUUAGCUUGUGUAAUGCAAUCUCUUAUUGCCUGAUCUCUGAAUCUUUUGCUUAAAAUCAUGUCUCAACUCAAUCUCUGAUCGGUGUAGCAUUUUUACCUUUGGAGUUUGCUUAAUUCAUCUCCAACCUUCCCAAGUAUUGGGAUUCUUAUCGGCUUUGAUCUCAUGUUCCUACCCAACAUGACCGCAUCUCAUAAAUUCAUUGUUGGGUAAUGGCCUUGAUAGGCAUAAGGCGUAUCCAUUUCUGUAUUGUGCCGUGUUCUCAUCCUUUAACCUUCUACUUGUUACCUCCAAAUCUUGCUGUCAUCUUUACUUGCUUUAAUUUUAUCUUGCACAUGAUUCUUGUCCAUGCAAGACCUACCUAUGUCAUGUGAGAUUUCACAUUGGUUGUAAGAUCAAUAAUAUUGUCAUGAUUAACGAUUGGCGGUGCCGUGACGAAACCAAGAGCAUCCUGUGGCUAUAGACACAAGGUCGUGCUGCUCGGCACGCACUGGUAUCGUGGUUGCUAGUCAUGAUCUAUUAUAAAACUACACCACUGUGUUAUCUUCUCAUGGUCUUGUCCUUGGAUAUCUUUCCUUAUCUUCAAUCAAAGGUUCUAUAUCAGACUUAUGUAAUAGGACUUCCUUCUGAAGUUGCUAAGAAGAUAACCUUUGAAGAAUAGGUUACCGACAUAAAUCUUAAUAGACUGUAAGGGGUGGUGGACAAGAGACUCUAUUUGCUACCCAUGUAGCGAUAUCAGUCGUUUAGUGAGUAACUUGUGUCAUCCACUGUUGAAUCCAAAUGGCACACAACACUUAAAGUUGGACAAGUUAUCAGUCAGACAAGAAUUGAUCCAAAUCUUGAUCAUAGUGAUCACAUAGUCAUAAUCAACCAUCUCUAUUGUGAUCUCAUUUUUGGCUAACUUUGAUCUUGACUGCCUACAAAUGGAUCAACUACAAUUGUUGCCACCAAAGAAGAGAGUUUUGGAAAUUUUUAGUGUUCAGAGACAACUGAUUUGUUAUCAGUUAGAAGGUUAAUCACUACCUUGGAAACGACUCCAUGAUAUCCCUGAAGGCUACGUCUCAUAAAAUAGUGUCAUGCAAAGAAAACAAUAAGUUGAUCAACGAUGCAAAUACUAUUUCCUUCUCUAGGCCCUAUGUUGUCAAGUCAAUUCAAUCUUGGACAAUCACAUAGAAGGUACCAAAUGCUAUAUCUAAGUCACAAGCUAGAGAAAAGCACAUCCCUAGUCUCGGUUAGCAUCAUUAUAUGUGUGGUGCUAUCAAAGGUUUUGUUUUGUUUGGUUAGCCAUAUGGUGUUUGUUUGUACUAAAUUUUGGUUAAUCAUCAGAAGACUCUUGGAUCUAUAUACACACUAACAAUUCAUGCAUAAUGAGGCUAGUUUGUGUGGUAUGAACUGAACCAAGAUGAACCUUAGGAUAACCUAGAAAAUACUCCUUGCACCCUUGGACACCUAGCUGUUACCCUAUCACAUCAACCGACAGUUGAGCAAUCUAGGCGUUCUACAAGUCAAAAAUAACUGGAAAGGUGUUAAACAACAAAUCUUAUAUUUAUUAUCUUAGAGCUGUUGUUUGGUCCUAGUAAGGAAUCCUCAAUCUCAAAAGUAGUCUCACCAAGCUAUUCUACUACAAUGCAAGUCGACCCAGAACCUACUAAGUCAUUGCUUAAUGAAGGAAAAUUUUAGUUGACUUGCUUGAUAGUAGCUUGUUUCCCUAGUUCGGUGAAUACUAGCAACUUUUGUUGUCCUCUAGACCUUGCUAUCGCCCAUCUUUAACAAUGCCAAUUUAGUACUAACAUGCCUUGGGUAUCUUCUAUGUUCCUUUUACCCAAGAGGUUGUAUUUGAUACAACCUAGGUAACUGUUAACCCUUGGAGUCAUGAAAUUCCUUGAAUGGUGAGCAUUGACUUGAUAGACUCAGAUAAUACAGUGUUGUUAUCAGAGAAAGAGAACUGCACACAUGGAACCUUAUGUAGCUUUCCAUUGACUGGCAUCUGAAUGAUUAGACCUUAUGACCAAAAUAAACAUUGUUUAUCGGUUAGCUGGUUUCUCAUAACCUCAAAGGAUGUUUAUCUAGUUCAUGAUCUCAUCCCCUACGAAAGGUUGUACUCAAGCCAUUCUGGUAGAGGACUGCUUUUUGAGCCUUAUGAACAUAGAUGGAAACAUUGUAAUGAGUAGUUUACUAUGCUCCAAACCAUCCAUCAUACAUUGGGAAUGAAGUACAUGUGAUAGUGAUGUCUUGAAUUCCUCCCAAAGUAACAAUGCUUCAUGGAAGUCAAUGGAGGAAAUUCUUUAGACAAAAAUUCACUACGAAGAACAAGUAUCAGAAAGUGUCCUGACCAAAUUAGCCUCUCUGAUGCUCGAGGAUAAGUAGUUGACUGCUAUCGCCAAUGUUAGAAGUGAAUAACAUGCUUCUCUACCCUUGGAAGUCUUUCGCCCUAAAUCUCGGGACAAGAUUCUUUUAAGGGGGAGGGUAGUAACACCCUAGGUGUUUGCCACUAGUUAGACCUUAGGUUUGAGCUCAAACAUAUCAUGAUAAGUGGUGAUGAUCAUGUUAAAGUCAAUCAAUGAAAGUGAGCCUCAAGUUUAACUUGGAGAAUGCACCAUUGCUUACAUAUCGGCCCUUUUCAAAGUGCAUGCUUGGGUGACAUUAAUGGAACCUCUUUCAUGUGUCCCACAUCUAUCACUGCCUAUAGUGAUCACUCAAAAAGUUUCAUAAAGUUCGAAAUCAAAAGGUCACAUGAAAUGAUAAGUUACAUACUUGUUGGAAUGACCUCAUUAAGUGAAUGGAACCAUGGGUCAUCAACCAAUAUUUGCAACCUUUCCCAAAUGACUCUAGAUGAACUCUACAACAAAAGUCAUGAAGGGUUCAUGUUGAGCUUGUGCCCAGAAAAUACUUCAAGUGGCCUAAAACCUUAAUUCAUGCUUUAUCAAGUUGCUGCUUUGACCAAAGUGCAAGUUUGAUUUCUAUACUAGUUCUGAGAUUUGACCUUAAAUAAAAGUUGUAUUUUUAGCUUCUGUAGAACAAACAUUGUUUAAUGGUCAAGAGCUAGUUUGGUCCCUAACCUAGACAAAUUGAGCUUACAAGAUUCAAUGCAGUGCUGUUUUGGAACACCAGAAUUUUGGCCAAGUCCUCAAGGUGUUUAGUUUUGGGUAUCCAUGUUGGGAGCUUUGUAUCUUCCAGUCCAGGCCAAAAUGGUAUAAGGUUCUUUAAUAAAAGUUGUAGCAUAGUUUGUAUGCUACAAACUUUGUUAAAGUGCCUAAGUCCGAAUCAUCAUCUAAGCAUAUCAAUUAAUGGUCAUAAUAUUGAAUCUGCUAUAGUUUUCAGCACUUCGAAUUUCUAAGUCUAGGUUUGCAGUUCAUUUCGUAGGCAUCCCGCGUUCUCCUAAUUCUUUUAAACAACUUGCUUGGGUCGCAGAAUAAAAGUUGGAGUACAUAUUGUGGACAAGAGCAUACCGAAAGAUGACACUAGUUCGACUUUUUUUGUCAUCAAUUUCGAGUUUCGCCAAUCACCAUCAAUAUGUUAACACUAGUGGUUUGGCAUCAUGUUAUCUCUUAAUCGGUUACUCUAAUGGCUUUAUACUCUGAAUCAAAGUUGCAGAACAGGCCGAGCUUGGCAUACUUUGGCCCAUGUCCAAAUUCAGCCUGGAAGAAGCCCAAAAUUGACUCCCACCAUGGCUACCCCGGCGCGCACCACCUGCUCGACGAAAUGCUUCAAGAGGUGACACGCGUCCUGGACGUAGCAUUCAUGCAGAGUUCGCGUCCCCACCAUUGCUACAGCGUGCCACUGCCUUCUACUCGCGAUGGGGACACACCAAGCCGUUCCCAGACGGUCCCCACUCCUCCUGCUCGCCCUCACUCCCUUCUCCUCGCUCUCCGCCGCGGGAACGCCGCCGCGUCCGCCGUGGCCGACGGUAUGAGCUCGCACCUGCCGCAAUGCUCGCUGCUCCGCGCCUCCUCAGCCCAAGCUAAGUACCUCAGUGCCUCUGCCGUCUCCUCCUGACUGCACUGAGCUCCAUUUCCGGCCCCAACCAUCGCUGGAGCACCGCCACCGUCGAGAGCAGACCGCCGCCGCCUCCUCCUGCCGUGGCUAGGCCGCCACGGGCCCUCUCCUGGCCAUCCAAGACCACCAGCAAGUGUGCGCUAGCCUACUGGUGCUCCCCCACCACUCCAUCACCGCCGACGAGGCUCCGACUAGCCGGAACACGAAGCUCCAGCGAGUCCUGUGUUUUCGUGCGACCAGGGACCUCGGGAUCGAAUUUGACUAAAGCCAGGGGUUUUUUGCAGAACUCAUGACCCAGAUGAAUAGUGCUUUGAGGACCUAUUUGUUUUGGAGAAAUGCUGUAACUUUGAAAAUCCAUAUAAAAUCAUAGCAAAAUCGUAAAUUAACAAAUGUAGACUUUUUAGAAUCCAUAUGAAAUUCUCUAUGCAGUAGAUCUAUAAUAUACCAUGUUUUAGUUUAAAGUUUUAGCUGUAGAAAAGGUUUUUAAUACUAGUUGAGAUUGUCUUUUUUAUAACUGCUGCUGUAGAGCUCCAAAUGAAGUGAAAUUUAUGUGGCCUGCUAUUCUUGUGAUGUUUGAUGCAUGCUGAAAGUUUCAUGAUUUUUGGUUGCAGUGUGGUUGAGUUAUUGAUUUAACUUGCAUAGGGCUUGAUAAAGGGUUUAUUAUUAUAAUUAAAAAUGUAAAAAUGGAAAAGGUUGUUCUAGUACAAUCCUAUGAUAUCAUUGUAUCAUAUUAAUAUAUAAUAUGGUCAAGUGUUUGAAGAAAAUAUGGUUUGUGCAUUUAUCUUGCUCUCACAUGGUUAAUUCUAAUAGCAAUUUGUCUUUUUCAUAGAUGUUGCUAUGUUUAUUCAAAUGUAAUGAAAUUUGGGCAGUAGACUAUGGAUAGUAUGUAGAAGCUACUAUAAGUUUGGUCGAAUUUAGUGAGCACUUUUGUUAUAUGUUCUUUAAUUCACCUUAUUAUCCAAAUAAAUUAAGAAAGGAAUUAAAUAAAUUUAUUUGGUAAUGACCACUAUGUUUUCUGGUGUUCUUUAGAUAUAUGCCAACUGUUGCUAACAAUGGUUUUGCUCAAAUCCAUGUUUGAAACAUAAGUUAAUAAUUAAUUGUGUGCAAUUGUUGUUUCUGGACAGUUUCUGGAACUGUUUGGAUUACAAUAUGUAAAUGACUUUUUCUGGGAAUCUUGUUCAUAGCAAAGUUGUAGAUAAUUUAUUUAUCUAGCUGCUUUUAAAAUUUGGUAGUAUUUGGCCUUGUGGUUUGUGAGUUAUGUCUAUUCAAAGUUUGAUUCCAGAAAUGGCUGCUCUCUGUUUGUCAGGGACAGAUACUGGAACUUUAUAAUUUCGACCAGCUUCAGUUAAGAAUCAUGCUUUUAUGUAUAAAUAUCAAAUGUAGAUAAUAUCUUAAGAUUUCCAGAAUGUCUUCUUACAUAUAUUUUGGAGUUGUGUAACUCUAGUUAUGAUUUAUUUUCUCAGCUGCUGUUAACAGUCCUAAAAAUUACAGAUUCCUUGUAUUGUUGUUGCUUGGUAUAUUGCUAUGUAUGACUCAUGUCUUUGAUAAUGGCCAAGUUAAUACACCUGAGUGUUGACACUAGCUAACACCACUUAGAUACUAGGUUGUCAUCCCUAGCAUGGCGCCAGAGUGUACAAAGGUAUUUAUAAAUGUAAAGGCUCUCUAGAAAAUAAUCUAUUCUAUCCGCAAGCGCACAGAUAAAACACCUCAUUGUAGCAUUUCACCAGGAUAAGUAUUUCAGGUAUCGUUAUUUAUAAUUUUGCUCAAGGGAUCUAAAGAAGAUGAAAUUAAAUCAUAAAGAAUUAUAAGUUCAUGGGUAGAUAACACAGCGAUUAGAAAAUAGACUACUCCUCAUAUAUGUAGGUGAUGUCAGAUUAGCUAGAGAAUGGAUUCUAAGUUAUCUACUAACUACUAAGUCAUAAUCUACUCUAGUUAUCUACAAGAUCAUAUAUAGCAUAAAAGACUCUUCAUUCAUGUAUAAGGAACAUUGAUAAAGUAAAUCAGAGCAUCGCAUGACUUACUCCACAAUACCGGUUCUGCCUGUCCUAUCAACGGAGGGUGGACUAUAUAUGAAUCAACGAAGCUGUCACUAUCGCGAACUACCACACGACCCGGCCAAUAGGAUACAUUUGCAGAUAAAUAACAUCUAAGCACCACGCUCACAUGUGAUCUAUCACCUAACUCCCUCGCGUCAAGAGCUAAGCGCUUUGCAAACUUAUACAUAAACUCAUUAUCAAUUAGAACUAUAUCAAAUAUAGAACUAGAGCAAACUAAGAACAUAAUAAUUAGAGACAUAAUGCAAUUAGAACAAUAGAAUUAGAUAAAGAUAUGAAUAAUACCAAUCUUUAUUACCGAAGAUCCGAAUCCAGAGCGUAGUGCUCUACUUCUCUAAUUGCUAUCUAAUCAACCUCUAAACUUGAAGGAUUAGGGAGUAGCUAAUUCUAAUUCUCUGUGGGAGAGGUGUUCUAAACCCUAACUUUGAUGGCUACCUCUGAAUAAUGAUUUCUCCUCUCUCCUCCAGGGGCCAGUCUGGUUUUAUAGUCCCCUCAAGUAAACGUGAGCCAUUGGAUCAAACCGACAUAGAUUGUAUGGUUUAGAUUGAUCCUUUAGGUCGGUGGAGCGUAGUCCCGAAGUAGAGUCCCGAUCCAACUUCAACCCUAGGUGGGCGCCCAAGGGGGGUGGGCGGCCGCCCUGCCCCCGAGCCCGAUCGUGCUCUCGUUCGUUCCCGUGGCUUCUGGACUCUUCUAGAUUGAGGAAAAUUGCGCGGCACGUAAUUAUCUCGUUGUAAACAUGACAUGUGGGCCUUCUCUCCAUAUUCUCUGAUAACCCCCUGCAGAAAUAGAUAAACACCAAAACUCGUGGAAUUCUGUCAGAUAAAACCCUAAUUCUAGAUGUUUGUUUCAUAUUGAUCCUUUUUCAUUUUUAUUUGAUUAUUAAUUUUAGUACUUAAGGACCGUCAACAAACUCCCCCAAGCUUACCCUUUGCUCGUCCCUGAGCAAACAGCUAAACUCAGACGGAUCAGGAGUUGCUUCGAUGUUUUCUUUCCUGACAGGUACACAUGCUUUUAAAUAAAAUUCUUCCAGAUUAGAGUGAAGUGUUAUGGAGUUUAGAACCUGCACUUAAGUCUUAAGUAAUCGAAAUACAAAAUAGUUAAGUCAAGCACUAUCCCUCCUGUUUAUACUUCACCUUUGUUCCAGAGUUUUUUAUAAGUUUUCAAAAUAAAACUCAGAGUUCCCAGCAAUGAUUCUCUCAAGUCUCUAUAUAUGUGGUAUUUGUGGAUCCUUACCAUAAUGUCACUUACCUAUAGCUAAUGGAAUAUUUAAGUGGAGCUUAUAGGAGUGAAAAACAGCUCAUACAUAUAUUGUCUAAUCGAGCCAUGGAUCCAAAGGAACUCAGCAUAUAAUUAAAUCAAGAUGUGCAUGUGUGGUGGAGUAAAUGAUAGUGAUGGUGAAAAUGUAUAAGUGUUAAUAAAACUUAGUUCUCAUUGCUCCUCAUAUUGCUACCUCUUCUCUUCUUUGAUCUUUGCUUUUGGAAAACAUGGGCUAUCUUUUCUUUCUUUUUUCUCUUUUUUUUUCAGGUGGGUAGUAGAUACCCCUAAUUCUACUGUCGGACACUUGUCCAUUUUUUCCGCUCAAGUGGGCAUCUUUGUACCCCUAAUUCUACUUCGGACACUUGUCCAUUUUUACCUCUCGUCUCACUCUUUUUCUUUCUUUAUCGAGGUUCCGGGCACUUGCCCCUUUUUAUUUCCUCGCAUAUUUUUGCAUAACCCAUGCCUCUUCUGCAUUGAAUCUUUUUAGAGAGAGAGAAUAACAAUAUUCGGGACAGUGAGUGAAAAUAUUUUUAGCAAUUUUAAUGAAUGGUGAUGGAUGGUGUAGUAGAUGUGUGCAAGUGAAUAUCUUAAUUUAACCACAUGAAAAGCUCCUAAGGGUCUACACAGCUCGAUCAAACUCAAUGUAAAUAUAGUAAAAGAUGUUAUAGCAUGUAUGGUUGUGGUAGGUAGUUUGCAAUGCUAGGAACUCAUCAUGUGAUUUGUAAUUUUUCAAAAUAAAUCUCCAGAACUUAGUGUAGUAGGAACAAGAUAAACAGUAGCUCAACUUUAUAUCAUGCCUUUCUCUUACCUAGACUUUAGUUUUAUGCUUCCAAAGAUAGUAAUUUCAGUUUUAGUAAUUCCUGGAAGAUCUCUAAUAUAAAAGCUAGGUACUUGUAAGUAAGCAAACAGAGCAACUUGUUCAUCAUUUCCAUCAUGCAUCUUUUUGGUCUUUUUAUUUUUCUAGAGAUUAAACUUAGCAGGAAAAUAAAGCACACUUAUCUACACACUCUUUUUAUUUUGUUUUCAUGUUUAUUAAAGUGCAGUGAAUUAAAGCAAGAAAAUAUUUAUUUGGUUUUCUAAGUUUUUCCUUUUAAGAUAAAUUAAAUACUAAGACAGAAUAGAAUAAAUAAGAAGAGCAAAUAAAAACUUACUUGAUAAAUUUGAGAGGAACUCCCCCAAGCUGGAUGUUGCCGUCGGUCUUACCCGAUGUUCCAGAACCGCAUCAUGGUUGUAAUGUUGUCGUUCAUUGUUGUUGUAUCUUGUCUUAGGUCUUCUACUGCAGCUGCAUGGUCUUGGUUCCAUUUUUGUUGUUCUUCCAGGAGUCUUCCAUGUUCUGCUUGCGUGUUCUGGAUGUCGAGGAGGGUGUUGUCGGUGCGAGUGAAGAAAGCACCGGCCUCUUGAUAGUAGUCAUUCGUGAAAGCGUAGGAGGCGUCGGAGUAUCGUCCUGCAUCAAAUUGGGGCGGAGGUCUCGAUCCUGAAGCUCCGUAUGGAUCAGUCGAGUACCUCCCCGUAUGGAAAGGCGGGUUUGUCCACUGGUGAUCUUGGCUCUCCGGCCAUGUCUCCUCUGUUGGCUCUUGUGGUUGCGCAUGUCGAGCCCAUGGGUCUCGAAGGACUCGAGGGUUGUAAUCGCAAUAAUGCAGGUGCGCUGCUUCUUCUGGUCCAGGGUUAGCUCCAUACCAGGUGCGUUCUCGGUGAGUGGUUAUCCUUUCGGAAGCCACUCGCUGUGGAGUUCUCUGGUUCACUGGUGUUGCUGCAAUGUCAAUCAAAAAGUUUUGCACAACGUAGAGGCCAAGGUUUGGGUUAGGUAACCGAAUCUUGCCUUUAUCAUCAUAUAGCAUAUACAUUAUAUUUCCCUCUUUCUUUAACAUCCGAGCUUGUCUAAAUGUGUCAUAGCCAUGAUAAAUUCUUAAUUCUUCUAUGAAAUCCAACGAUGAGUUUUCUAGUAAGUGAAGAUUAGAAGCUAGACGAGUGAUAAGUGAAGUACAUCCUACUGGUCCCUGAAGACUAGGUAUACUAAGGCAAUGUGAAACUAAUAGUGUAACAGGUGAAGUGGGUACUUUACUAAUAGCAGCAUAUAAAAGUUGUAAAUCUCCUACUCUUACUUUCCUAAUAUCAUCACGAUAGAAAAGAUUGUACCCAAGCCAUUUGUGGAACAUCCUAAGAGUGGGGUGUUCCAUGUCACUGGUUCGGGCUUGACUGUAAAAAUUAUCUCUAGAUAUUUCUCUCUAAAAUUGGUGUCUCUCAAAAUUGGGUAAAUCGGAGUCAAUGUUCAGGAUGCAUCUUGAAGAGAAACCAAGAUGGUCGCUUAGCUCUCUCCAAGACAACAUAAUUUCCUCUUUGAACAUCCGAAAAACAAUUCCCCCCUCAUAGUAUUGUAAAGUGCAAAGAAAUUCGAGGGUGAGAAGACGAGAACCUAGCUCAGUUAUAUUCCAAAAAUUUAUCCAACCUAACAUCUGGAAAAUUAAGUCAAAUUCAGUGUCCAUACCUGUUUCUUGUAGUAAGAUUGGAUCGAUAGUAGGGGUGUGAAUGAAAUCUUUGUUCUUCAGUUGCUGAUAGACUUCCUUCUCUCUUCGAGUCUUCAGUCCAAGGUCUCCUAUCUUGAGAAGGACCUUAACUUGCUGACCUGAUGAAGAUGAUGGAGCUUGUGUGGGUGUCGGGUCGACGCUCAUCUCUGAUGGCUGUGAGGAGUGUCGAGCUGAACUCCUUGUACCAAUGUUCUUGAGAGCUUUUCCUGCAUCCUUCACCUUCUUAAACAUCCUGCAAACAAAAGUUGGCAAAAACAACUUUUACUUCUGCUUAGACAACGGGAUCACUGCUUGGUAAGUGAUACUCACUCUCUAUCAACUUCUUUCCCACUCUUCUCUUUCUUUCUACUCUCUUCUCUCUUCACUACAAGAGCUCUUUUUGGAAACUGAUACUUGUGUGGUUUUCUGGAGUGCUUGUGUGAAGAAGAUGGAGGUAGAAGGUGGCUAUUUAUAGGAGGAAGAGGGAGCAGGGCGGGCGCCCUAGGUAGGUGGGCGGGCGCCCACUCCUGGUGUCCAUCCUGGGUAUGCCUCUUCCACUUGCUUCCUUGCUUUGAUCUUACGCAGAAUAAUGUUGUGUGGUGGUAAGAUGUCUGGUGAGUGGAAACAUAUUGGUGGAUGAAAUAAUGUGAUGGGAUGUAUGUGAGGUGUGGUGUAUGACAUGUGGGACCCAAGGAGUGUGGGUCAUGCUUCUAGAAGGUUACGAUUAUUAAAUAUAAUGCAGGAAAAUCUAUGACAAUUGAAACUUAAUUAAAAUGAUAAUGGAAAAUAUUUUUGUGCCUCCACAAUAAUUAAUAAAUAUGGGUUGUUACACACCAUGAAUAUUAUUUAUAUGGGGCUUUUCAUUAUUAUAAUAAUGCUAUGAAUAAAUAUGACUAAUGCAAGAAUUAAUUAUGCAAGAAUUUAAAUAUGAGAAAAUUAAUAAUGCGGAUAAUUACCGAUUUACCUCCCGGUGAGGGUUUGGGAUUUUUAGGUCCCCCAAGCUGGACCUCCAAAUCUUUUAAUCUUCUGAGUUACCUUCCUCUAGAGAUAGUGUCUCCAGUGGUUCUUCAUGAACUUCCUUCACUGUAGAGUCUCUCUCUGGUCUGGGUUUGAAUGUGAAGUGUUCUUCUUGACCGUUUAUGUUGAACUUGAUUUCUCCCUUCCCGACAUCAAUGUGAGCAUUGGCAGUGCUCAGAAAUGGCCUUCCAAGGAUGAUGGACACUUUUGAGUCAGGACUCAUGUCCAGUACUACGAAGUCUACCAGCACAAGGAAAUCUCUGAUCUUGACUGGAAUGUUCUCGGCGAUACCCAGCGGGUGUCGAACCGAUUGAUCCGCUAGUUGUAGACACAUUGAUGUUGGUUCUAAGGUUGCAUGAUCAAGCUUUUUGUAGACUGAUGCUGGCAUCACACUGACACUUGCUCCGAGAUCACAAAGUGCAUUGUUGAAGUGUUGGUUUUCGAUCGAGCAAUCAAUAGUGGGACAUCCAGGAUCUUCCUUCUUCUUUGGUGGUUUAUUGAGGAUGGCCGCACUACAUUCUUCUGUCAGCUUGAUAACCUCAGUGGUGGGCAGUGGCCUCUUCUUGUUAAGAAUAUCUCUGUUGUACUUUGCAUAUGUAGGUACCUGUAUGGCAUCGAGCAGAGGUAUGUUGACAUAUAAUUUCUGAAUGACCUCUACAAACUUACCAAACUGCUCAUCCGACUGCAGUCCUCUGUUUCUUCUAGGAAAUGGCAAAUAGUUGGUGUCAUAAAAAUCUUUCCUCAUUUCUCCAGUUCUUGGUGGUUGUGGCAGAUCUUCUGCUCCAACUGGGCUUUCUUCUUCUAUCACUGCUGGUUGCACUGGUGCUGAUGUUCCUUGUUUCUCUUUUGGGUAUGGUGGAUCUCUGGUAGCUUUGCCUCCUCUAGUAGUUAUAUUCUUCACCUUUGCUAUUGGGUUGACUCGAAGUUGGUUGAUAUUUGUAUGCUGUCUCAAUGGCCCUUUGAUCUUCUUUAAACUUGGCCCUCUGGUCAAUCCAAUGGAGCAAAUUUUCCAUCUUAGUUGAUAAUGCAUUUACUUCUUCUAGUAUUUCUUCAGUUUGAUGACAAUGUUGAGCUUUAUCUUGGAACCAGCUUUGGUUUUCUGCUAUCUUAUCCAAAAGUAUCUCUGCUUUUCCAGUUGUAAGCUCCAAGAAUGAUCCUUUAGCAGAUGCAUCUAGGCACUCACGAGCCUUCUGGGUUAAUCCAUGGUAGAAGGUCUGCAUAAGUAACCAUGUGGCUAUUCCAUGUUGAGGACAAUCUGAUAUUUAUCCUUGAAAACGCUCCCAUGCUUCUGAAAUGGCUUCUGUCUUCUGCUGUUGGAAACUGAUAAUAUUUCCUCUUAAGGCAGUUGUUUUUCCUAUAGAGAAAAACUUUGAUAGAAAGGCAUCUGACAAGUUCGUCCAGUUGUUGAUGUUAUCUUGAUGAGUGUAGAACCACUUCCUCGCUUUUCCUUCUAGUGAGAAUGGAAAAAGACGAAGUAGUAUGACGUCUUUGUCAACUCCGUUGAUGUGGAUUGUGCUUCCAAUCUCUAAGAAAUUCUGCAAGUGUGCACUAGCAUCUUCAUGUGUCUUUCCACUGAAUUGUGUAGCUUGCACCAAAUUGAUGAGGCUUGACUUGAGCUCAAACUCGGGUAUUCCUUCUUCUACUGCAAAUCUUGGACUCGUUGGAAUGUUGUCAAGACUUGGAGCAGAGAAUUCUUGCAAGGUCUUUUGUGCCAUAGCUUCAGCAAUUGCUAGCUAGCUUCUUCUUCUCUUGAUUGCUUUGGUUCUGAUGACGAAGAGUUGAAUGUACCCAAAGUCAAUCCUGUUAUACCCUGUAUAAAAAUAUAAACAUAGAAAGACAACAGGGUGAACCUGCCAAAGCAGAGGUGCCUUGUUAUGAUUUCUCACUUAGUAGCUGUUUUUAUGCAAUUAUUUCUCUAUAGUGUAGUCUAAUAUUUUAUAUGAAUAACCUUGACUGAUUUUCUGGCUUUCCUAGGCAUUACCCUUUUGUUCCCUUUUAUGACUUAUUCCUGAGACUCGUAUAAAUUCCUAUAAGUUCCCCGGCAACGGCGCCAGAAAUGCUUGUUGACACUAGCUAACACCACUUAGAUACUAGGUUGUCAUCCCUAGCAUGGCGCCAGAGUGUACAAAGGUAUUUAUAAAUGUAAAGGCUCUCUAGAAAAUAAUCUAUUCUAUCCGCAAGCGCAUAGAUAAAACACCUCAUUGUAGCAUUUCACCAGGAUAAGUAUUCCAGGUAUCGUUAUUUAUAAUUUUGCUCAAGGGAUCUAAAGAAGAUGAAAUUAAAUCAAGGGGCAAAAUCUAUCAAGGCAUAGACUAGAGAUAAACUUGCAAGAACAUGAUUACUAAUGAGAAACUCGUCACACAGUCACAUACUUUAGCAGGGGGUAAACCAUAAAGAUAAUGAUAAUGAAUUAUAAGUUCAUGGGUAGAUAACACAGCGAUUAGAAAAUAGACUACUCCUCAUAUAUGUAGGUGAUGUCGGAUUAGCUAGAGAAUGGAUUCUAAGUUAUCUACUAACUGCUAAGUCAUAAUCUACUCUAGUUAUCUACAAGAUCAUAUAUAGCAUAAAAGACUCUUCAUUCAUGUAUAAGGAACAUUGAUAAAGUAAAUCAGAGCAUCGCAUGACUUACUCCACAAUACCGGUUCUGCCUGUCCUAUCAACGGAGGGUGGACUAUAUAAGAAUCAACGAAGCUGUCACUAUCGCGAACUACCACACGACCCGGCCAAUAGGAUACAUUUGCAGAUAAAUAACAUCUAAGCACCAUGCUCACAUGUGAUCUAUCACCUAACUCCCUCGUGUCAAGAGCUAAGCGCUUUGCAAACUUAUACAUAAACUCAUUAUCAAUUAGAACUAUAUCAAAUAUAGAACUAGAGCAAACUAAGAACAUAAUAAUUAGAGACAUAAUGCAAUUAGAACAAUAGAAUUAGAGAAAGAUAUGAAUAAUACCAAUCUUUAUUACCGAAGAUCCGAAUCCAGAGCGUAGUGCUCUAUUUCUCUAAUUGCUAUCUAAUCAACCUCUAAACUUGAAGGAUUUGGGUGUAGCUAAUUCUAAUUCUCUGUGGGAGAGAAGUUCUAAACCCUAAAGUGAAUAAUGAUUUAUUUGAAUAAUGAUUUCUCCUCUCUCCUCUAGGGGCCAGGGGGUCUGGUUUUAUAGUCCCCUCAAGUGAACGUGAGCCAUUGGAUCAAACCGACAUAGAUUGUAUGGUUUAGAUUGAUCCUUUAGGUCGGUGGAGCGUAGUCCCGAAGCAGAGUCCCGAUCCAACUCCAACCCUGGGCGGGCGCCCAAGGGGGGAGGGCGGCCGCCCUGCCCCCGAGCCCGAUCGUGCUCUCGUUCGUUCCCGUGGCUUCUGGACUCUUCUAGAUUGAGGAAAAUUGCGCGGCACGUAAUUAUCUCGUUGUAAACAUGACAUAUUCUCUGAUAACCCCCUGUAGAAAUAGAUAAACACCAAAACUCGUGGAAUUCUGUCAGAUAAAACCCUAAUUCUAGAUGUUUGUUUCAUAUUGAUCCUUUUUCAUGUUUAUUUGAAUAUUAAUUUUAGUACUUAAGGACCGUCAACACUGAGAUCUUGUGAAACAUGUAUGCCAUGCCUGAUAUACUUGGUUGCAUCUAUUUCUAUCUUAGUACGUUGAUUGUGUUAUGUUACUUAAGCAACAUGAAACACACAUGUAUGUGUAGAGUAACAUGAUACUUGUCUGCUUACUGUAUAUCAUGCAUUGUCUAUUGCACUUCUAUGUGUUCAUACACUUGCAUCUUGCAUCUCAUUUAGGUAUGCUAGAUGAACCACGUGAAGGACAUGAUGGUGGAUCUAUCGGAAUGAUGGAAGGACUACACAAGUGUUGCGAACUUGGAUGUCGUCAAGAUGAAGCAAGAUAACUUAACUGACUUGUGUCAGAUUCCAGGCAAGCCCCAGAGCAUUCUAAGUCUCCUACCCUCUCUUUUUAUAAAAGCACAAGAGUAUACCUUUAUAUGUUGCAUUAGGUGAUAGGAGUUGAAUGAAACCGUUGGUGCAUAUUUCCUACCUUGUCCACUAUAUGUAACUACCUGAACCCUUACUAGUAUAAGGAAGACGUUCUAUGCAUAGCUAUGCUUAGCUCGGUAGAAGCCAGGUGAUUUCCUGUCACCUGCGAGAGAUAGGUGGAUACCUGAUCACAGUUGGUUAUAUUUGCUAUCGUAGAAAUAACCAUGUGUAAUAAUGAAUGGAGACCGGGCGGGAUGACGAUGUGAAACAACAAGGCAUGGAGGUCUUGGGUGUGGAUCUAUCCCUGUCUAUGUCGUUUAAGGACCGAUACGCUGUACAUCCUCUCAUCAUGUUGCACGCAUGCCUAACACUUAGUUGGCCAGAUAAGUCGUUCCGACCGUGAAGGCUAUGAGUGCAAAUCCGGCCGGAUACCCCAUUCGGUUUAUGUGCGCACCUAAAAGCCCAAGUUUGGUUUUGGUAAUUAAUGACACCAAGUUGCUAACGCCUUGUAUUUAAGUGAUUUGAGUUAGGCAUAGCAACACAUGUGAUGAAGGUGCAUGGUGGCAUGGAAAGGUGGCCACAUGAUUACAAAGAGAUGAAGCAUGAAGUGGGGAUCAUGGUGAUAUACAAGGAGUAAAGUGAACAAGGCAAAGGUAUAAACAUAGGGUUUUGCUUUUGCCGGUCUAAGUUGAGUAGAGAAGUGUGUGACCGGGUUUAGGAUAGAUAGCCGACUAUCAAGAGGGGAAAUCACGGUCAUCUCUUGAAUCAAGUGCUACUAGGUCCAUAUCUUGAGCAUAUGCAUUAGGAUCUAGUAAAGUGCUAACUUAACUCCUUUGGUGAAAAUGUUUGUGAAAAGCUAACACACAUGCACUUUGGUGGUGGACUCUAGUUGGUGUUAGCACUCAUUGUCGGUGCUUUUUGAGAAAAUUAAGUGUAUAUUUUCUAUUGCGCCAGUGGAAAAUUUGGAGAAGUCACGGGGGAGAAACACUCACCGGACGCUGGCCUUGGAGGAACCGAACGCAGAGGCUGUGCGUCCGGUGUGCAGUAGUGCUUGGCUCUGCUAGGGUAAGGCAUCGGACGCUAGGCAUCAGACGCAGGAGAGAUCCUGUUGACACGUCCGGUGUGACUUGACUUCAGCUGGUGUGUUUGGUUGGUAGCACCGGACGCUUAGAGCGCGUCCGGUGAGGAGUGUCCGAUGCUCUGCACUUCUGCAAUGCUCUCUGGGUUUUAGACUAGUGAGCACCGGACGGUCCAGUGCUCAGCGUCCGGUGACCCUGCAAGUUUGCAGACUUCUCUGUGUUUAUGACCGGUGUGCACCAGAAGUGUCCGGUGCCAACUUAGUCGCGUCCGGUGGUCCGCAGGUGACCGUUAAAGUUUGAUGCGUGAGUUUCAAAGGAGGACACAUGGCCAACCCCUGAGCACCGGACGCUAGAGGUCGAGCGUCCGGUGAUCACUUGGUAGCGUCUGGUGCCCCCGUUUUCAGCCCAAUCAAUGUAGCCAACGGCUAUUUCCUUGAGGGGCUUAUAAAUAGGAGGUGGCCGGCUUUAGGAGGUCAACUCUUGCACAUUUGAAUACUUGAGGCAUACUUUGAGCUAGAGAACACUCCUUCCACUCAUCUCCUUGCUUGUUUGCUAAUCCUAUUGAGAUUGAGUGAGAUUCAAGUGCAUUGCUUUGAGAGUUGCAAUUAGUGGCACUUGAUUCUUGAGUUUGCUGCGGUUUUCUUGUUACUCUUGGGUGUUUCCCGAUGCCCUAGACGGCUUGGAGCAGCGGUGGUGUUGAGCUCAUGAUUGGAGAUUGUUUCGAGCCUCCCCAAGUGAUUUAUGAGGGGUUCUUGAGCCUUCCCCAUGGGAGAUCGCAAUUGGCUACUCUAGUGGAUUGCUCGUGGCUUGGAGGAUCCCCAUCUUGUGAGUGGAUGUGUGGCACCCGCUGAGGGUUUGGCUUUGGAUUGCCAAUUAGCUCGUGAUCCAUCAAGUGGGUGUAUCGCCACAACGAGGACUAGCUUGCCGAGAAGCAAAUGAACCUUGGUAAAAAUAUUGUGUCAUCUCUUGCCGAGGAUUCUCUUGUAAUUGUGAUUAAUUGAUUGGUUGUAUUUCUACUCUACAACGUUGGUAUAACAAUCACUCCCCUCUCCUUUCCUUAUGUGCAUACCUUGCUAGUUGUGUAGCUUGUUUAGCUUAGCUUUCUUGUUGUAACUAGUGUUUAGCUUUCUUUCUAGACUUGUCUAGGUGGCUUGCAUAGCUUAGUUGUGCUAGUGCUAGAAUAGCUUUGCCUUUUGUUUUACUAAUCAACUUUUCUAGUUGAAGUUUGUAGAAAAUUUAAAUAGGCUAUUCACCCACCCUCUAGCCAUUUGGACCUUUAUGCACCCCGGUUGGUAGCAAGGAUGUGCGGGGAGUCAAUGGCGUAAGACCGAGGUGUCAGGUUAGAGUCCUGACCGUGGCAGAUUGGCAGUCUGAAAGAGCAUCUAGGCCCCUAGUGAUUUUGGUGAUUAAUGACAAUGUUGAUUACUAUGACUAACGUGUGUUUUGCAGAGGCAAAGUCAUAGGUAUAGUCAUGGUAAUAGGUACUCAAUGGACAGGGACGUACAUGCCUACUUCAUAGUGGAAAUCGUUUCGGUUUUCAAAGGAUGGAUGGACAUCGUCAAGACUAGACUAGGUCUAAGUGCCAUAUGGUGAAGAAGGGCAAUUAGAGUAGUUUAGGACUUUGUUUUCCUUUGACCGUACUAUUAAGAGGGGUUUUGAUCUAGUAGCUUGACUUAGGCAAGGCUUUAGGUUUAGGUGUGGUGCACACUUGGUAAACCUAGCACUAGGCAGCUCAGAGAUAGUCCUUAGAUCGAGAGGAACCAACUUUGUUUUGGAGCGAUUGCGUUUCGAUGAAGUUAGGGUGCCCAAGGGGGCACCGGACGCUGCACUGGACGCUCUGUGAGUGCGUCCUGUGAGGUCCUUAGCCAUUGAGAGUUUGGGUGCCUUAGGGUUAGGCACCGGACGCUGGCACCGGACUCACCGGGCAGCGUCCGGUCCCACACCCAGGGAGGUUGCAAACUUCCCUUGAGCACCGGACGCACCGGGUAGCGUCCGGUCCCAUACUCAGGGAGUUUGUAAAACUCCCCGGAGCACCGGACGGUGCCACCAGACGCUAAGAGGUAGCGUCCGGUGACCUGUCAGACGCAGGUAUAGUUAGCCGGAGUGUGUGUUGACACUAGCUAACACCACUUAGAUACUAGGUUGUCAUCCCCAGCAUGGUGCCAGAGUGUACAAAGGUAUUUAUAAAUGUCAAGGCUCUCUAGAAAAUAAUCUAUUCUAUCAAUAAGCACACAGAUAAAACACCUCAUUGUAGCAUUUCAGCAGGAUAAGUAUUCCAGGUAUCGUUAUUUAUAAUUUUGCUUAAGAGAACAAAAGGGAUGAAAUUAAAAUAAGGACAAAAUCUAUCAAGGCAUAGACUAGAGAUAAACUUGUAAGAACAUGAUUACUAACGAGAAACUCGUCACACAGUCACUUACUUUGGCAGGGGGUAAACCAUAAAGAUAAUGAUAAUGAAUUAUAAGUUCAAGGGUAAAUAACACAGCGAUUAGAAAAUGGACUACUCCUCAUAUAUGUAGGUGAUGUCGGAUUAGCUAGAGAAUGGAUUCUAAGUUAUCUACUAUCUAUUAAGUCAUAAUCUACUCUAGUUAUCUACAAGAUAAUGUAUAGCAUAUAAGACUCUUCAUUCAUGUAUAAGGAACAUUGCUAAAGUAAAUCAGAACAUCACAAGACUUACUCCGCAAUACAAAUUCUACCUAUCCAAUCAACGGAGGGUGGACUAUAUAAGAAUCAACGAAGCUGUCACUAUCGCAAACUACCACACGACCCGACCAAUAGGAUACAUUUGCAGGUAAAUAACAUCUAAGCACCACGCCCACAUGUGAUCUACCACUUAACUCCCUCGCGUCAAGAGCUAAGCGCAUUGCAAACUUAUACAUAAACUCAUUAUCAAUCAUAACUAUAUCAAAUAUAGAACUAGAGCAAACUAAGAACAUAAUAAAUAGAGACAUAAUGCAAUUAGAACAAAGUAUUAGAGAAAGAUAUGAAUAAUACCAAUCUUUAUUACCGAAGAUCCGAAUCCAGAGCGUAGUGCUCUACUUCUCUAAUUGCUAUCUAAUCAAACCUCUAUACUUGAAGGAUUAGGGAGUAGCUAAUUCUAAUUCUCUGUGGGAGAGAAGCUCUAAACCCUAACUUUGAUGGCUACAUCUGAAUAAUGAUUUCUUCUCUUCUCUUCGCUCCCCCAGGAGUGGAGAGGCCUUGGUUAUAUAGUCCUUUCAAGUGAAUUUGGGCCGUUGGAUCAAACCGACAUUGAUUGUAUGGUUUAGAUUCAUCCUUGAGGUCGGUGGAGUUUAGUCCCGAAAGAGAGUCCUGAUUGGAUUCUAACCCUGGGCGGGCGCCCUGCUCCCAAGCCCGAUCAUCUUCUCGUUCGUUCCCGUGGCUUCUGGACUCUUCUAGAUUGAGGAAAAUUGCGCGGCACGUAAUUAUCUCGUUGUAAACAUGACAUGUGGGCCUUCUCUCCAUAUUCUCUGAUAACCCCCUGCAGAAAUAGAUAAACACCAAAGCUAGUGGAAUUCUGUCAGAUAAAACCCUAAUUCUAGAUGUUGAUUUCAUUUGGAUUCUAGAAAUAGAUAAACGCCAUUUGGAGUUCUGUGUUUGAAGAACCUUUGUGUCCGAGUUGGUACCUUGUAUGCCCCAGCAGACUUCGUAGUGGUAGAGACCGGAAAUGAUGAGAGAGCACCCAUCAUCUUAGGGAGGCCAUUCUUGAACACCACGGGAGCUAUCAUCUACGCUAGAGCUGCCAAGAUCAGUUUUUACGUCAAAGGGAGGAAGGAGACAUUUUUCUUUAAGAACAAGACUACACAAAUUCCAGAUCAAUCCAGACGUGAAUCAAGGAAGAGGACCAACAGGAGAAAUAGGAACAAGCAAGUGUGGACCAAGUCAGCUAAGAUGGUCACUGUAGUUCAUGGAGGUCAAGAUCAACAACUUAAAUCACCGUUUUUGACUAAGAAGGACGACCCAGGAAUGCCAAGCAUCUAUUGCUCCAUAAAUGGAUACAACUUCUACAAGACGACUUGUGACACCGGAUCGGGCGUCAACAUAAUGGCCGCAGUCACCUAUCGGCUCUUGUUCGGAACCAUGCCCCUAAAACCAACAUACAUUCAGCUCCAGAUGGCAGAUCAGACAUUUCGAGAAGUUAAAGGAACAGUAUCUGAUGUCCCAGUCAAAAUAGACGAUCAUUUUGUCUACACAGACUUUCAGGUUAUUGACAUGGGAGAAGACGAGUACGAUCCACCCAUCAUCCUUGGAAGACCGUUCCUCAGCACCGUUAAAGCAAUCAUCUACAUUGGAACCGGAGAAGUCCAUAUGCACUUCCCCUCAGAGAAGGUACGCCAUUAUUUUACUGACCCUAACUAUAUCGUUGAAGAAUCUAAGUAGGUCAGAAAGAGACGCAACCGCAACCAGAGGAGGCAAACCAUCAAGGACCGAUGGGCAGACUACGAAGGAGAAGUGAUAAGGUCAGAAGACGUAGAGUUUAAACAGAAUUAUCCUAAGGAGACCGAAGCACCGAGUCAGGUAUGGAAAGAGAAGAUAACUAUACAUGAAGAGGAGGCGCCGCCGGAAGUACCGACUCCGCCACCCAACGAAUCCCAGGACAAUUAAGAAAACGGAGAGUCCCAUUCGGAGGACUUAAAAACACCGAACGCCUUGCCAAGAGGUAAACUUGGUAGUUAUCCUUUCCCUUUCAAUUAUUUCAAAUAGUCUACUUAGUUAAUCAUGUUCAUGCUACCCUAAAGAGAAAAUAAAAAUGUGAAAAAUAGUAAGCCCCAUGUGAGUAUGCAAGUGGCAUAAAACCCAUAAGUACAUUCACUGUGGUGGCAUAAAAAUAAAAUAAAUAUUUUCUGCUUUAUAAAAUGAAAAUAUAAAAAUAGGGAGUAAUAAUUGUUAAGGAGUCUCAACAUGAUAAAGGCUAGAUAUUUAUGCUAACAUUUAAUCAGUUCCACGAGCUUUGUUGUCUAUUUGAGCUCCACAGAAUUUAAGAAUCAAGAAGACUAGCAGACGGAGGACAUUCUAAUCGUUGUCAGAAUGCUGCUGACUUUCAAAUACACCUCUGCCACCUGCUAGCUACAUCAAGAGAAAUUACGUCAAAAUUCAGCUUGGGGGAGAGCACCCCCAUUUAUCUCGAUAAGUAUUUCUAUCUAUCUAUCUUUAUAUUUCUACUAUAUUAAAAUAUAAUUAUGGAAAACCAAAUAAAGAUUUUAUGCUUAUAUAUAUACCUUUUGCUUAGUGUGUUUAAUAAAUAAAUAAAGUGGCUAUGCUAAUCUGUAUCUAAAUAAAACUCUAGCAUGGAUAUGAUGAAUAGUUGCUCUGCCUAAUUUGUACAUUUUAAGUUCUCUCUCAAGUUUAGAUAUAACUGUUAUAAUUUAAAGCUUGCUCUAGACCUAAACUUGUGGGAUGAAAACUUGAUCUAAAGUCUAAGUUGUUAACGGAUACGAUAUGGGAAGGCUAAGCUGUUGUUUAUCUGUUUCCAGAGAUGCUGGAAAUCUGGAGAAUUUUAUCUUUGAAAAUCUUUAAAAUGUUGCAUGAUGAGUUCCUGUAUGAUGAGAGUUUUAAAUUCCUACCACAGCCAUAUAUACAUGCUUGCUAGAUUUUGAGCCACACAUUUACUAUUUAUUGCUUAUGAGCAUUGAGUGUGGUCAAGCUGUGUAGACCCUUAGGAUCUUGUCAUGUGGUUAAAUCAAGAUUUCACUUGCACGUUCACUCAUAUAUGCUACUUCUACUCCGAAAGUACCAUCCACAUAUAUCCAUCCAUUUCCAUCUCCAGAAUCACCCAAAAAUAUUCUACUGCUAAUCCGGGAGAGAAUAACCAAAAAUAUUUGUCGAGGGUAUCAGUAAGGGGUACCCUAACUGACGCACAUAACGAGAUUACCCGUGCACAGAUCGAGGCCCUCAACUCGACGUACUAAUAAGCCGUGCAGUCAUCGACGGCCGCAGCCUCGAAGACGGAAAAGACGUCGAGCGAACCACUCAAGGGUCGAGCGCUAACUAUCGUCGAAUACGAAAAUGGGCUCGAGCGAAUCGGGAGGCAUUGAGCGCAAGGACACUGUCCGCCGCCUGACGCGCGCACGAGAGCCAGGGCAUUUAAUGCGCCUGUCGCUUUCCCACCUAACACGCUGUUCACGGGAAGCGUGAUAGGGAAUAGGCACCCGUCCCAUCAUUCUUUUUGCAGCUUUCCCCACCAAACGGCUCAGAGCGUACCAGGACGCGGGAAGCAGGGAUGGGAGCGUCUAAUCGGGACCUCCUCGAGGCACCCAAGGUCAACGCUUUGGACAACAAGGCACUGCACGGCGUCUGACCCUCGACCAGGCAAGAUUCCUUCCUGGGGAAGAGUUGGGCGUCGACUGACAACACCGCAGCCACUCCGCCGGAUCUGCCGCUAUACCGUACAGGCGUGCGACCGAUGAACCAGGCCGAGACGGCGCGCAGAGCAGGAUACGAGGGCACGCGUAAUCAUCAUCAAGCUACCAAGACGGGACGGCUCGAGACCACGCCGGUACGGAGGCCUCGAGUAGGUCAGCGCGCCAUGCCUCUAUCGACCCCUACUCUGACACCUAUACGUGUACCCUAGGUCUCUCCUUGGAGCUAUAAAAGGGGAGACCCGAGAAUAGACACACAUCACCACACAACGCUACACCCGCACGUAGUAGAGACUCCACACUCCAUUCUACCCGAGCUUGUAUUCACCCCUGUACAAGCACUUAGGUGCAAAAUAAUACAAACUCUCCCCCCCGCUGGACGUAGGGCCUUCUCUUGCCCGAACCAGGAUAAAUCUUUGUGUGUCUUUUUGCGUCACCAUCUCGGAAAGGGAGCACGCAUACAAAUUUACUCGUUGUUGUGACCCCCCGUGGGGAAAACACCGACAGUUGGCGCGCCAGGUAGGGGUCCUGCGUGUUUUUUCAUCGAUUUCCCACUCCUUUCCAGAUGGCCACUCUCGCCUCGCCGAUUCCGCGCCCCACGGUGAUUUGGUUUGGGAGCCUUGAGUUCGUGUUGACUGGCUCCGGCUACGACAUGAUCUUGCUCUCGAUCAAAGGACCGGGAGGAGCCCGCGUUACACCAGCGCAAACAAGGGCCCCGAGACGCCCUCGACAUCAUGCCUCCCUGCCAAAGAAGAGGCAUGGGCAGCACCACCGUCACCCCUCUGCCUCGUCACGACCGGCAGUUCGUGCAAGGCAGGAGGUGGCACAGGAGCCGGCCGCGCCGCGUACCGGAACCGUGGGCAUGCCGGCCCAACAUCAUACGACGGCAAGAGGUGACGCGCCCCGAGCGCUCUCCUUCACCACUAGGUUGCUUCCACAUGGGUUGUUCACCCCAAGAAGGGCAUUGCCAUUCAGGUUGGACAACGCCGCGACGUCGCUCGCUAGGGCGAUAUGCCCAAAUGCCCAAACGUACGUGGAAAGACCAAUGGUCCUCCCACGUGACUCUGAAGCACGCCCGCCGACGUCCGAGUUGCCAGACCUCUCCCGGGUACGAGGCCUCCGCCGCCUAGGCCCUGGACGAUACACGAUCACCUCGCUCAGGGAGCGGCUGCUGGAGGAAAGACGUGGAUGUUACUACGCCGCCGAGCCAGACUCCGACUCCGAGCGCGAUAGCUACGACCCUACAAGGGAAUGCUAUCACAUCGACAGGGCGGUAGAAACUACCGACGAGACACAGGAUGCGGCUGCCGGCGGUCGAGCCCCUGCGGCAAGAGAAGAUCCCAGGACACCUGGGAACGAUGGACAGGUCGACCUGCUUCCACAGGAAGACAAGGCCGCGCAACUCGUGCAGUUACGAGAGCUCAAGACCAAGCUUGACGAAGAUCGUGAGUGCCUAGUCCUGCUUGAGCAAAUCCUCGAGCAAGACUUGGCAUACCUGCCCGGCGGAAGUGUCCGCAGACGCGCUCGAGAGGUACACCGACAAAUCGUCAGAGACGCAGAGCCAGAGCAGCCUGUCAGCCGCUUCCCUCGAGCAGGCCAGAAUGUAGUGGCAGCGACAAUGCUGCUGCGCAACAUGCCAGAGCCAUCGAACUCCCAAGCCCGACGUAUUCGAGAUGAGGUAUAGACUCUGCUCCAGGUGGUGGCAGUUCAACAAGCCGAAAGCUCGGCUUCUCGACGACGAGGAGCUGCCACUGAAAAGCGCGAUGAGCCACCCCAAAACGAAAAGGAGGUAUCAGUCCAUCAACUGCCACCCCCACGAGGAAGAAAGACCACGCUCAUUCUCCCCGUCAACAAUCAGCGUCGACACGACGCACGGCAUGACAUCGAAGAGAAUCGACGCCGCCGGCAUGGGGACGCGGAAGAGCGCGGUUCCAGCGCACAUCGUGGCGGGAGGUACGACUGCGAUGAGAACCGAAUGGCCCCCGAGCCACCAGGCCCACGGGUGUUCAGCAGGGCAAUCCGCAGCACACCACUGCCCAGUCCGUUCCGACCCCCAACCAGCAUCGCGAAAUACAACAGUGAAACCAAACCAGAACUGUGGCUGGCAGACUUCAGGCUGGCUUGUCAGCUGGGAGGUGCUCGAGGAGACGAUCGAGCCAUCAUCAGACAACUACUGCUUUUUCUCUCUGAUACCGCCUGACCGUGGCUCGAGGAACUUCCAGCUAAUCAGAUCCAGGACUGGGUCGAUUUGGUUAGAGUCUUCGAGGGUAAUUUCAAAGGGACCUACAUACGGCCCGGGAACUCGUGGGACCUCAGCAAGUGCAAACAGAAGUCAGGAGAAACUCUUCGAGAGUAUGCUCGACGCUUCUCGAAGCAGCACACCGAGCUGCCACGUAUCCCUGACCACGACGUCAUCCUGGCAUUUGUCUCUGGUACCACCAGUCGAGACCUGGUACGGGAAUUGGGCCGGAAUCGCCCUCAAACCGUCGAUGAGCUGAUGGACGUAGUGGCAAACUACGCAGCAGGGGAGGAAGCAGUCGGCGCCUUCUUCAGUUGUGAAGGAAGGAAAGGCAAGCAGCCCUCCAUUGAAGAUGGGACCCCCAGUCGAGGGCCCAAGAAAAACAAGAAGAAGCAGAAAGCGCGGCAGUUCAAGCAGAAAAACUUCGACGACGAUCUCGUCGCCGACAUGGAGCGGAAGAGGCCUCGAGGCCCUCCAGAUGGAGGCAUUUACGACAAGAUGCUAGAAGAACCAUGCCCUUACCAUAAGGGAGGCGCCAACCACAUGCACAAGGACUGUCGUAUGCUGAAAAAGCAUUUCGACGGUCUGGGGUUCAAAAAGGAUGCGCGUGACGACCCAAAGAAGGAGAAGGGCGGCAACGUGGAGGACAACAAAGAUGACGACGGCUUCCCAGCCGUCCACGACUGCUACAUGAUCUAUGGAGGGCCCUCGACGCAGUUGACCACAAGGCAGCGCAAAAGGGAACGACGUGAGGUCUUCGCGGCGAGAAUGGCGGUGCCCCAGUACCUCAGCUGGACGAGCACUCCCAUCACUUUCGAUCGAGAGGACCACCCGGACAAGGUAGUCGCCCCAGGCGUCUACCCGCUCGUCGUCGACCCCAUCAUCGUCAACACCCGGCUUUCAAAGGUGCUGAUGGACGGCGACAGCAGCCUCAACAUCAUCUACCUCGAGACCCUCGACCUCCUCGGCAUCGACAGGGGACGGCUCCAACCAAGCGCCGGCGGUUUCCAUGGCGUCGUGCCAGGGAAAAAGGCGCUACCAGUGGGUUGAAUCGACCUACCGGUCUGCUUUGGCACGGCGGCCAUCUUCAGGAAGGAGACCCUCACCUUUGAGGUGGUCGGACUCCGGGGCACGUACCACGCCAUCAUCGGUCGCCCGGGCUACGCCAAGUUCAUGGCUAUACCCAACUACACCUAUUUGAAGCGGAAGAUGCCCGGUCUCAAAGGCGUCAUCACCGUCAGCUCCUCCUUCAAACUCGCUUACGAAUGCAACGUCGAGUGUAACACCCCAGGUGUUUGCCACGAGUUAGACUUUAGGUUUUGAGCUCAAACAUGUCAUGAUGAGUGGUGAUGAUCAUGUUAAGGUUAAUCCAUGAAAGUGAGCCUGAAGUUAAACUUAGAGAAUGCACCCUUGCUUACAUAUAGAACCUUUUCAAAGUGCAUGCUUAGGUGAUGUUUAUGAAAUCUCUUUCAUGUGUCCGACAUCCAUCACGACCUAUAGUGAUCACUCAAAAAGUUUCAUGGAGUUUGGAAUCAAAAGGUCACAUGAAAUGUUAAGUUACAUGCUUGUUGGAAUGACCUCAUUAAGUGAAUAAAACCAUAGACCAUCAACCAUUCUUUGCAACCUUGCCCAAAUGACUCUAGAUGAACUCUACAACAAAAGUCAUGAAGGGUCCACGUUGAGCUUGUGCCCAGAAAGUGCUUCAAUUGGCCUAAAACCUUAAUUCAAGCUUUAUCAAGUUGCUGCUUUGACCAAAGUGAAAGUUUGACUUCUGUACUAGUUCUGAGGUUUGACCUUACAUCAAAGUUGUAGUUUAGAUUCUGUAGAACAAACUUUGUUUAAUGUUCAAGAGCUAGUUUGGUCUCUAACCUAGUCAAAUUGAGCUGACAAUAUUCAAUGCAGUGCUGUUUUGGAACUCUAGAAAUUGGCUAAGUCAUCAAGGUGCUCAGUUUCGGGUACCCUAGUUGGGAUCCCUGUAUCUUACUAACCAGGCCAACACAGUAUAAGAUCCUUUAAGCAAAGUUGUAGUACAGUUUGUAUACUACAAUCUUUGUUAAAGUUUCCAAGACUGAAUCUUCAUCUAAGCCUGUCAAAUAUGAGUCACAAAAUUGAAUCUGCUAUAGUUUCCAGCACUUAGAGUUUUUAAGUCUAGGUUUGGAGUUCAUCACGUUGGCAUUCCGCGUUCUCCAAAUUUUACUAAACAACUUGCUUGUGUUACAAAAUAAAAGUUGGAGCACAUAUUGUGGGCUACAGCAUGCCAAAAGAUGACACCAGUUUGACUUCGUUUUGGUCAUCAAUUUUGAGUUUCGCUAAUCACUAUCAAUUCGUUGAUACUCAUAGAUUGGCAUCAAAUUAUCUAUUAAUAUGUAAUCCUAAUGACCAUGACACUUAAACGAAAAAUGUAGAGCAGCACGAGUUUGACAAACUUCAUUUUUGGCCCAUGUCCAAAUUCGGCCCGUAGGUAGCCCAUAUUUGGAUCCCACGUUGACCACUCUGUUGCCUGCCACCUGUUCGGCAGAAUGCCUCAAAGGCCAGCACGUGUUCUGGACGUGGCAUCCAUGCCCGGAUGCGCCCCCUCCUCCUCUGCUACUCGCCCAGGCGCCCCCCACGCCCGGUUGUCGAAGUGGAGAAGCACCCCAGCGCCUUCCUCAUCCAUUUCCACCCCCUGCUCGCUCUCUCCCUCGCCCUAUGGCCACUCCGGAGCAGGGCCACCAUGGCCGGCCGCCAUGCCUCAGGGGUGAGCGUGGCCAAGCCACCACGAGUCUCCUCAGGCCGAGCUGAGUGGUCUUAUGGAUGCGGGGAAGUCUCCUGGUGCUCCCCCACCCCUCCCUCACCGCCGGCGUGGCCAUCUUUGGCCAGAAAGCGCAAAGCCGGCGAUCCUCCUCCCUUCUCUGUUCGAGCAGAGAAAGGAAAAGGGCCUCGUGUUGGAAUAAGAAACAAUGCAGGGUUCCAGAUGCGAAGCUUGUGGUCUGUUGCGUGAUUCGUGGAAAGUCCAGGGUCCCCGGUGAAAGAUCUGUUUUCCUUUUCCUUUGUUUUUGCAGAUUUCUGGGUGAACUUUGGAAAUCCAAAGUAAUGCAUCGAAAAGUCGUAAAAUAGCAAAUGUGGACUUUUUGGAAUCCUUGUGAAAUUCUCUAUGCAGUAGAUCUAUAAUAUGGCAUGGUUUAGUUUGCAGUUUUAGCAGUAAAAAUAGAUUUAUGCAGUUCGGUUUUAAUUGCUUGUUAUAUUUGUCUUUUUCAUAACCACUGUACUAUUGCUCAAAUAAAUGUGAAAAUAUUGUGGCAUGCUUUACAUGUACUAUUUGAUGUCUGGUAAAAGUUGCAUGAAUUUAGGCAUAACAUAUUAAGAGUUAUAAAAAUAACAAAUGCUCUGUGUUGCCUUGCUCCUAUUCUGAGUAUGUCUGCAUGUUUAUAUUGUUUGGUUCAUUUAGGUUGUGAAUCUUUCCUGGAUGAAAAUAUAUGAGUUGUAGUAAUUUUCAUAAGCUUUCCAUCAAGCUAAAUAGCAUAAUUUUUGGUCAAGCAUAUGUUUAGUUAUAGUAGUUUAAAUUACUAUUUCAGUUUCUGUCUAAACCUAGACAGCAAUGCAUUGGUGUUAUGUAAGACCUUGUUAGUUGUAGAUUUUGCUCUAGAUGUUUAUAACAAAGUUGUUCACAAUUUAGUAAGCUUUCUAGAAAGCAUAUAACCAUAAUUUAUGGGCAUAUGAAACUCAAGUUAUGGCUGUUUAAUGUGACAUGAUAGAUUCUGUCCAUGUUUUGGACAGAGAUGUCUUUAUGGAUAUUGAUAAAUGGUUUAUAAUUAUAAAUAACAAUGUAGAAAUGGAAAAUGUUGUUCCAAUACAAUCCUAUGAUAUUAUUGUAUCAUGUUUAUGUAUGAUAUGACCAUGUGUUUGAAGAAAAUAUGAUUUGUGCAUUGAUCUUGCUCUCACAUGGUUAAUUGCAAUAGCAAUUUGUCUUUUUCAUAGAUGAUGCUAUGCUUAUUCAAAUACUGUGAAAUUUAUACAGCAGUCUAUUCAUGGUAUUUAGAGGCUACUAUAAUGUUUGUAGAAUUUACUGUGCAUGUUUGAUAUAUGUUCUUUAAUACACCUUAUUAUCCAAAUAAAUUAAGAAAUGCAUUAAAUAAAUUUAUUUGGAAAUGACCACUAUGUUUUCUGGUGUUCUUUAGAUAUAUACAAACUGUUGGUAACAAUGGUUUUGCUCAAAUGCAUGUUUGAAAUAUAAGUUAAUAAUUAAUUGUUUGCAAUUGUUAUUUCUGGACAGUUUCGGUAACUGUUUGGAUUACAAUGUGUAAAUGAUGUUUUCUGGGAAUCUUGUUUAUAGUAAAGUUGUAGAUAAUUAAUUUAUCUAGCUGCUGUCAAAAUUUGGUGGCAUUUGGUUAUGUGGUUUGUAUGUUAUGGCUGUUCAAAAUUGAGUUUCAGAAAUGGUUGCUCUCUGUCUUGUUAGGACCUGAUUCUGUAAUUCUAAUAUUUCGACCUGCCAAACUUAUGAAUCAUGCUUUGAUAUAUAAAUAUGAAAUGUAGAUAAUUUCCUAAGCUUUCCAGAAUGUCUUCUUUCAUGUCUUUUGGAAUUGUGUAACUCCAGUAAUGAUUUAUUUUCUCAGCUACUGUUAACAGUCCUAAAAAUAACAGAUUCCUUGUAUUGCUGUUGCUUGGUAUAUUGCUAGGUGUGACUCAUGUCUUUGAUAAUGGCCAUGUUAUUACACCUGAAAUCUUGUGAAACAUGUAUGCCAUGCCUGAUAUACUUGGUUGCAUUCUUUUCUAUUUUAGUAUGUAGGUUUGUGUGAUGUUUAAGUAAUCAAUGAGAAGUGCUUAUGUAUGUUUAGUGUAACCAUGCUCUUCACAUACUUCUUGUGUGUGAUGCUUUGUCUAUUGCACUUCUAUGUGUUCAUACACUUGCAUCUUGCAUCUCAUUUAGGUACGCUAGAUGAACUACGUGAAGGACUUUAUGAUGGACCUAACCGGAUGAUGGAAGGACUACACAAGUGUUGUCACCUUAGAUGUCGUCAAGACGGUGUAAGCUGACAUAACUGACUUGUGUCGGAUUCCAGGCAAGCCCCGGAGCAUUUUAAGUCUCCUACCCUCUCUUUUUAUAAAAGCACAAGAGUAUAACUUUAUAUGAUGCAUUAGGUGAUAGGAGUUGAAUGAAACCGUUGGUGCAUAUAGUCCUACCUUGUCCACUAUAUGAAACUACCUGAACCCUUAACGUUCUAUGCUUAGCUAUGCUUAGCUCGGUAGAAGCCGGGUGAUUUCCUGUCACCUGCGAGAGAUAGGUGGAUACCUGAUCACGGUUGGCUAUAUUUGCUAUCGUGGAAAUAACCAUGUGCUAAUAAUGAAUUUGAGACCGGGCAGGAUGACGAUAGUGAAGCAACAAGGCAUGGAGGUCUUGGGUGUGAAUCUAUUCCCGUCUGUGUCGUUUAAGGACCGAUACGCUGUACGUCCUCGUGUCAUGUUGAACGCAUGCCUACCACUUAGCUGGCCGGAUAAGUCGUUCCGACCGUGAAGCCUACGAGUGCAACUCCGGGCGGAUACCCCGAUCUGGUUAAAGUGCGCACCCCGGUUGGUAGUAAGGAUGUGCGGGGAGUCAAUGGCGUAAGACCGAGGAGUCCGGUUAGAGUCCUGACCCUGGCAGAUUGGCGGUCCCUGGGGGUGCGGCGCCGUACGGACCCGCGAAUUGGUCCGGAGUUGUGCUAAAGGUGAUCCAACCUACUCUAGCUAAGUACGCCUGGGUGAGUGCUAGGAAUACCCCUCCAGCUGGAUAGGAAUCGAUUCGAAUCGCCGUCUCUCCCGGAUAGUGAGAACUUGACUCGAGCAGCGGCAACGUAGAUACACUAAAUGAAACUUAAUGGUUAUGAUGAUGAUGAUGGCUACAUGAUAAACCUGAUAUGGUUAUUAAUGUGAUGCUUAAUAAUCAAGUGGUUGCUAUAGAAUAGUAUUGGGUAUUUUAAACGCAAACAGAAAAAUCCGCAAGCGCACAGAUACCGAUGUAGCUUUCAACCGGGAGUAUUCCAGAGUAUCGAUUUUUCACAGAGAACGUGAGUGUACUAAUUAAGAUCCAAGAUCGCCCAAGGAUAACUAUAUAAUUAUUUUUUGGUGGGAAGAGAGGAAGUUUCCUGUGAGUUCUCUAGUUGAUCUAAGAAUCAAGAAUUACUUCAAGAUUAUCUAUAUCAGGACAUCAGAGCACUAACCACAGAAAGAGAUUAGAAGGGGGCUAGGAAGGUCUGACUACGGUCCUACAAACACCGAUCCGAACGUGGUGGAAUACGUCGACCGUUAGGGCUGUCACUACCCUAAGGCUACCACAACAAUCCGCAGGACUGGGUGCAAUUCCAGGUAAUUGCAAGACUAAACACCACGUCUAAUCUAUUAAUUACUACUCUAGCGUUAUAAAGACUAGAGCACUUGAUGCAAGCGGGAAUCCAAUAAAUAACUAGAAUGUAAAUAAAAGUAAUUAGAGAACUCAGGAAUUAUGAAUUGAUGAACCUGGAGAACGAUGAAGAACGAACCAGUUGCUGCAAAAGUACAAUGUUGAGGAAGAUCCGACAGAUCCGGCUCCUCCUCCUCCGCUCUCCUCUUCUCUCUCCCUAUUUUCUAGAUUACAACUAGAACUAACUAGAACUAGAACUAGAGGAACUAGAACUAGAACUAGAUGAACUAGAACUAGAUCUAGAUGAACUAGAGGUAGAACUAGAAGAACUAGAGGGAUCCUCUCUACUUGGAUGAAGAAUUGAAACCCUAGCUUUGAUUCUGUAGAAGAGGUAUGCCUCCAGGGGCUGGUGGGGGUCUGCUUAUAUAGUCCAGGAAGAGUAGCCCCCAAGAAAUCUAGGAAGAGUAGCUCCCAAGAAAUCUAGGAAGAGUAGCUCCCAAGGAAUUUCCACGUUAUUCUCCACCAUCCGAUCAAACCGACCUUAAUCGUGUGAUUUUCCUUGAUCCUUAGAGUCGGUGGAGCACGAUCCGCGAAGUUGACCCUGAUUGGGCACUGUAGCAGGGCGGGCGCCCAGGUCAACUAGGCGGGCGCCCAGUGCCUGGCCCCGUUCGGUCUCCGCUUCCUUCCCGUGGCUUCUGGAGUCUUCUAGAUGGUAGAAAAUUGUGCGGCACAUUAAUAUCUCUAUGUAAACCCGACGUGUGGGCCUUUCCUCCGUAUUUCCUGAUAACCCCCUGUAGAAAUAGACAAACACCAAAACUCUUGGAAUUCUAUCAGAUAAAACCCUAAGUCUAGGUGUUGGUUGCAUUUGGAUCCUUUUCUAUGAUUAGUUGAUCGUUAAAUGUGAGCAUUAAGGACCAUCAACAAGCUCCCCCAAGCUUAACCUCUGCUCGUCCCUGAGCAAAGAUGGACUCAAGAGUUUCUGCAGUGGUUUUAUGCCUUAAAGAUACAAAUGCGUUCAAACAAGAUAUCAUCUCUGGGUUAGAGUAAACUGUUAAGACUUAAAACUUACUCAUAUUACCUUUCACCAUGGGGUUUGUAACCGUCACUUCUGUCUUGAGUAGUUAAAAGAUAGAACGGUCUAAUCAAGCGCUAUGUCUCUUGUUCUUCGAUUAACUAUAGCUCUAGAGUUUUUGCAGAUUUUCAAAUAAAACUCAGAGAUUCCUUGUAUGACUCUCUCUAGUCUCUCUUUUGUGGUAUUUCUGGAUCCUUACCAAGGCAGUGAUGGUAUAUGCCUUCUCUCAAAGUAUGUGGUAUUUGUAGUAUGAAGCAUAGUGGCAUUGCCUUCUCUCUCACCCUACUCUAAUAAGGUUUUGAUAUCUGGAGCUCAUAGGUGGGAGACAACUAAUACAUACUUACAAGACAUUUAUUGCAUAGUCAAACCAUGGAUCCAGAAGAACAAGUCAAUAAGACAAAUCAAGAUGUGCAUGUGUGGCGAAUGAAUAGUGUAUGGUGAUGAUGGUGAUAACAAUGGUGAAAGUCUAAUUCUACUUGUGCUCUUUCGAGGGGAUACAUACCUUUCUUGCUCUUUUGAAACUUUUUGAGGAGAAUGAGUUGCUCUAUAUUUUCUUUUUCUUUUCUCUCAGGUGGGUAUUUUGUACCCCUAAUUCUACUGUCGGACACUUGUCCAUUUUUACCUCUCGUCUCACUUUUUCUUUUCUUUCGAGGUUCCGGGCACUUGCCCAUUUUUAUUUCCUCGUAUCUCUUUUUUUUUCUUUCUUUUUUUAGAGCACUCAUCUCCUGAAAUAAUAUAGCAAGUGGUAGUAACCAAGAUAACUUGAGCAUUUAUUUCACAGGGGAAAACAGAAAUAGGAGAAUGUUUUUAGCUAUUCUCUCCCAGAUUAGGAGUAGAAUAUUUUUAGGUGAUUCUGGAGAUGGAAAUGGAUGGAUAUAUGUGGAUGCGUACUUCCGGAGUAGAAGUAGCAUGUAUGAGUGAACGUGCAAGUGAAUCUUGAUUUAACCACAUGACAAGCUCCUAAGGGUCUACACAGCUUGACCACACUCAAAGCUCAUAAGCAGUAAAAAGUAAAUGUGUGGCUCAAAGUCUAGCAAGCAUGUAUAUAUGGCUGUGGUAGGAAUUUAAACUCUCAUCAUACAGGAACUCAUCAUGCAAAAUUUUAAAGAUUUUCAAAGAUAAAAUUCUCUAGAAUUCUAGCAUCUCUAGAAACAGAUAAACAGCAGCUCAACCUUCCCAUAUCGUAUCCGUUAACGACUUAGACUUUAGAUCAAGUACUCUCCCCACAAGUUCAGGUUUAGAGCAAAUCUUAAUUAAUACUAGUCAUGCCUAAACUUGAGAGAGAUUUCAAUUUUGAGAACUAGUCAUGGCAGAGCAACUAUUCAUCAUUUCCAUGUGAGAGCUUAUCAUGAGGGUUCAUAGCAAAAUUUAUUUAUUUAUUUAUUUGGCAAACUAAGCAAAGAUAUAUAUAAGCACAAAAUCUUUAUUUGGGUUUUUAUGAUUAUGCAUCUUUUUAUUAUUUGAGUAAAGUAUAAACGUGAGUAGAAUACUUAGCUGGAUAAAUCGGGGUGCUCUCCCCUAGGCUGGAUUUUGACACAAUUUCUUCUAAUGUAGCUAGCAGCCGGCGGAGGUGUAUUUGAAUGUCGGCAGCACUCUGUCAGCGAUUAGGAUGUCCUCCGUCUGCUAGUCUUCUUUGAUCCUUGAAUUCUGUGGAGCUCAAAUAGACAACAAAGCUUUAUGGAACUGGUUAAGUGUUAGCAUAAAUAUCUAGCCUUUAUCAUGUUGAGCCUCCUCAAUAAAUAUUACUCUCUUUAGUAGGAUCAUAAAUUUAUUUUUAUAAUUUUAUUUUUUAUAGGACAGGAAUAUAUUUAUUUCAUUUUUAUGCCACCACAGUGAAUGUACUUAUGGGUUUUAUGCCAUGAGCAUACUCACAUGGGGCUUACUAUUUUAAACAUUUUUAUUUUCUUUUCAAGAUGAUAUGAACGUGAUUAACUAAGCAAACUAUUUUAAAAUAAUUGAAAGGAAAAGGAUAACUACCAAGUUUACCUCUUGGCAAGGCGUUCGGUGUUUUUAAGUCCUCCGAACGGGACUCUCCGUUUUCUCAUUCGUCCUGGGAUUCGCUGGAUGGCGUAGUCGGUGGUUCCGGUGGAGCCUGCUCUUCAUGUAUAACUAUCUUUUUUCUCCACACCAGACUCAAUGCUACAGUCUCCUCAGGACAGUUCUGUUCAAGUUAUAUGUCUUCAGACCUUACAACUUCUCCAUCAUAGUCUACCCAUCUGUCCUUGAUGAUUUUGCCUUCUCUGGUUGCGGUUGCGCCGUCUCCUUCUUGUCCCGACCUGCUUAGAGUCUUCAACUAUAUAGUUAGGGUCAGUAAAAUAGUGGCGUACCUUCUCAGAGGUGAAGUGCAUGUAGACUUCUCGGGUUCCAAUGUAGAUGAUUGCUUUAACGGUGCUGAGGAACGGUCUCCUAAGGAUGAUGGAGGAUCAUACUUGUCUUCUCCCAUGUCAAUAACCUUUCGGAAUGUCUGAUCUGCCGUCUGGAGCUGAAUGUAUAUCGGUUUUAGAGGCAUGGUUCCAUACAGGAGCUGAUAAGUGACUGCGGCCAUUAUGUUGACGUCAGAUCCGGUGUCAUAGAGUGUCUUCUGAAAAGAAUAUCUGUUGAUUGUGCACUUGAUGCUUGGAACACCAGGGUCAUCCUUCUUGAUCAAGAAAGGCGACUUGAGUUGACGAUCAUGACCUUCUUGAGCUGCAGUGACCAUCUUAGCUGACUCAGUCCACAUUUGCUUGUUUCUGUUCCUCCUGUUGGUCCUCUUCCUUGGUUCAUGUCGGGAUUGCUCUGAGAUUUGUGUAGUCUUGUUCUUGAAGGAAAACGUCUCCUUCCUCCCCUUGAUGUAGAAAUGGAUUUUAGCAGCACUAGCGUAGAUGACAGCUCCCGAGGUGUUCAGGAAUGGCCUCCCCUGGGCAUAAUAUUGACGCUGGAACCGAAGUGGUAGAGUGCUUCUGCGAAGUCCACCAUGCCGAUGGAGAUCGGGAUGACGGGGCGUCCUGGAUCGCGUCUCUUGACUGAGUGUCCAGUAUCUCCAGUGUGUUUGUGCUCGUAGAUCUAGGUUCUUCACUUGGUGGAGUCUGGAAGUUGUAAAAGUCCUUCAUAUUUUGCUCGAAGUGUACCUGCUCAUAGAGACAAGGCAGAGAUCAAGUGCAUGGGUCCUGUUGGUGGAAAACACCAAUAGAACCGAAAGUGUAUUUGUUCUCUCUAACCUUAAGCAUAGUGAGCAAGACAAAGUUGAUGGAUAAUAAGAUCAUGAGUGUAGCAUUUAAAGCAUUUGUCAUAUCUGACCGCUCAACCUAAUGGAAAGAUAAUCUAUCUAUAUAAAUGUUUUUUUCUUUACAUGACUAUCAUUUUCCAAAGAUUGAGUGUGCAACAUUUUAGUUCAUAUGAUUAGGAGUGUGGGAUCACAAAGGUGGAAGGACUAAACAUAUUGAAUUGACUGGGUUGGUUAAUCAAGAGUUGUAAAUCAUACAUGUUUGUCUCUUUUAUUUAUGUGAACGCCAGAACCAAUGAGAAGCUUAUAAAAGUGAUAGUCAAGUACCUUAAGAUGUUACCUUACUUGAAGAGUGAUGGUACAGUAUCACCUUGUGGAAGCUUUCCUUUCUUAGCGGUUGUGCAUCGUGUUUGUGGCAUCCUCCAUGGAUCAUCUCUUGUGAUCUAUGCCUUCCUUGUGUAAAUUGUUAAACUUCAUGUGUCUCUCUCUGUCUCCAAUGUUGGUGUAUCUCAGGACUUCCCAGGUCAAUAUUAAAAGUUCUCCUGCAGGGGUUAGUCCAACAAAAUAUCCAAUAUCUACUAUAGCAUACUAUCGGCUCAAAGAUCAACCUAGACAGCAUGUCUAAUUUGAUUUAGGAGGGCAUUUUAACCUAAGCAUCAUGCUUAAUUUAAACUCCCUUGGAAGUAAGAUCAUCAGCCCUAAACUAAGCACCAUGCUUAAUUAAGAGAUAAAUGAAUCUACUCCAAACCUAGACAUAUACUAAAGCAAAUAAAGGUAGCAUGAAAGCAUUUAUAGAGAUCUACUCAAGUGGAGAUGAAGUAGUGUGAUUAGUAUUUAACAGAUUGAGCAUGUCUCAAAGGUAGGGACAACCAACAUAGCAACAUGGCAAAGGAUGUUUUUAUGUAAAGUACUCCCCCAAGCUUGAAUUUUGCAAAAUUCAAGUUUGGAUGAAUUUAAUUCAAUGUUGUAUGAUGAUUGGUUGGACAUACCUUGUGCUUGUCAUUCAUCCGAUCUUCUUGCUCCAAUCCUGGAAAGGUUAGUGACAAGAAUACCCAAAGGAAUUUUUUUUACAAUUAUCCUUAUAUGCUCAAUACACAAGGUAAUGUUGCAAAUAAUUAAAAGCUCAUGUUACAAUCUGAUCAGUGCUUGUUUUAGGACACUAAGCUUGUCCUUGGGAAAUGUUGACGGUCCUUAAUGAUCACAAUUAACCAUCAACUAAUCAUAGAAAAGGAUCCAAAUGCAACCAACACCUAGACUUAGGGUUUUAUCUGAUAGAAUUCCACAAGUUUUGGUGUUUGUCUAUUUCUGUAGGGGGUUAUCAGGAAAUACGAAAGAAAGGCCCACACGUCGGGUUUACAUAGAGAUAUUAACGUACCGCACAAUUUUCUACCAUCUAGAAGACUCCAGAAGCCACGGGAACGAACGGGAGGCCGAUCGGGCUCGGAGGCAGGGCGCCCACCCAACUCUCCUGGGCGCCCGCCCAGCUACUGUGUCCAAUUCGGACCCGUUUCACGUAUUAUGCUCCACCGACCUAAAGGAUCAAGGAAAACCGUGCGAUCAAUGUCGGUUUGAUCUGACGGCCCAGAUUCACUUGAAGGGACUAUAAAACCAGACCCCCCUAGCCCCUGGAGAUCAUACCUCUUCUACAGAAUCAAAGUUAGGGUUUCAAUUCUUCAUCCAAGUAGAGAGGAUCCCUCUAGUUCUUCUAGUUCUACCUCUAGUUCAUCUAGAUCUAGUUCUAGUUCAUCUAGUUCUAGUUCUAGUUCCUCUAGUUCUAGUUCUAGUUAGUUCUAGUUGUAAUCUAGAAAAUAGGGAGAGAGAAGAGGAGAGCGGAGGAGGAGCCGGAUCUGUCGGAUCUUCCUCAACAUUGUACUCUUGCAGCAACUGGUUCGUUCUUCAUCGUUCUCCAGGUUCUUCAAUUCAUAACUCCUGAGUUCUCUAAUUACUUUUAUUUACAUUCAAGUUAUUUAUUGGAUUCCCGCUUGCAUCAAGUGCUCUAAUCUUUGAAACAUUAGAGUAGUAAUUAAUAGAUUAGACGUGGUGUUUAGUCUUGCAAUUACCUGGAAUUGCACCCAAUCCUUCGGAUUGUUGUGGUAGCCUUAGGGUAGUGACAGCCCUAACGGUCGACGUAUUCCACCUCGUUCGGAUCGGUGUUUGUAGGACCGUAGUCGGAGCUUCCUAGCCCCCUUCUCAUCUCUUUCUGUGGUUAGUGUUCUGAUGUCCCGAAAUAGAUAAUCUUGAAGUAAUUCUUGAUUCUUAGAUCAACUAGAGAACUCUCAGGAAACUUCCUCUCUUCUCACCAAAAAUAAUUAUAUAGUUAUCCUUGGGCGAUCUUGAUUCUUAAUUAGUACACUCACGUUCCCUGUGGAAAAUCGAUACUCUGGAAUACUCCCGGGUGAAGGCUACAUCGGUAUCCGUGCGCUUGCGGAUUUUUCUGUUUGCGUUUAAAAUACCCAACAAGCUUUCUGGCGCCGUUGCCGGGGAACGGUAGCUGUGCUAGUUUCGAACCAAGUCGUCCGUGUAUCCUUUUUCUUUUCCUUUUUUACCACACUCACCUUAUCAUUUUCACCAUACCACAUGGAUUUCACUCUAAGCAUUAGUGAGCAUGGAAUUUAUUUCAUAGCCACUUCAUUUACUCCAUGCUCAUAUGCACCAUCUUCACAAUCCAUUGGUCUCUCCAGCAUCACCACAUUCGAGAUCUCCAACCCCCUCUUCCUUUCUAUUUAUAAAAACUUUAAAAGGGCGGUUGUCGAUGCAUAUGUUUAUAAUAAAUAUUGCAGAUCUCGUUGAGUUGAUCUUGAUAUAGGUUAGCGUUGGAGGGGAAACCACUUCGCCGACAUAAAUUGAUGGUUUCCCAAGGACAAGCUUAGUGUCCUAAAACAAGCACUGAUCAGAUCGUAACAUGAGCUGUUAAUUAUUUGCAACAUUACCUUGUGUAUUGAGUAUAUAAGGAUAAUUGUAAAAAUAUUCCUUCGGGUAUUCUUGUCACUAACCUUUCUAGGAUUGGAGCAAGAAGAUCGGAUGAAUGACAAGCACAAGGUAUGUCCAACCAAUCAUCGUACAACAUUGAAUUAAAUUCAUCCAAACUUGAAUUUUGCAAAAUUCAAGCUUGGGGGAGUACUUUCCAAAAAAAACAUCCUUUGCCAUGUUGCUAUGUUAGUUGUCCCUACCUUUGAGACAUGCUCAAGUUGUUAAAUACUAAUCACACUACUUCAUCUCCACUUGAGUAGAUCUCUAUAAAUGCUCUCAUGCUACCUUUAUUUGCUUUAGUAUAUGUCUAGGUUUGGAGUAGUUUCAUUUAUCUCUUAAUUAAGCAUGGUGCUUAGUUUAGGGCUGAUGAUCUUACUUCCAAGGGAGUUUAAAUUAAGCAUGAUGCUUAGGUUAAAUUGCCCUCCUAAAUCAAAUUAGACAUGGUGUUUAUGUUGAUCUUUGAGCCGAUAGUAUGCUAUAGUAGAUAUUGGAUAUUUUGUUGGACUAACCCCUGCAGGAAAACUUUCAAUAUAGACUUGGGAAGUCCUGAGAUAAACUCACAUUGGAGACAAAGAGAGAGACGCAUGAAGGUUAACAAUUUACACAAGGAAGGCAUAGCUCACAAGAGAUGAUCCAUAGAGGGUGCCACAAACACGAUGCAUAACCGCUAAGAAAGGGAAGCUUCCAUAAGGUGAUACGGUACCAUCACUCUUCAAGUAAGGUAACAUCUUAAGGUACUUGACUUUCACUUCUAUAAGCUUCUCCUUUGUUCUGGCGUUCACAUGAAUAAAAGAGACAAACAUGUAUGAUUUACAACUCUAGAUUAACCAACCCAGUCGAUUCAAUAUGUUUAGUCCUUCCACCUUUGUGACCCCAUACUCCUAAUCAUAUGAACUAAAAUGUUGCACACUCAAUCUUUGGAAGAUAUAUUUUAUAAAAAACAACAUAAAUAUAGAAAGAUUAUCUUUCCAUUAGGUUGAGCGAUUUGAUCUAACAAAUGUUUUAAAUGUUAUACUCAUGAUCUUAUUAUCCAUCAACUUUGUCUUGCUCACUAUGCUUAAGGUUAGAGAAGAACAAAUACACUUUUGGUUCUGUUGGUGUUUUCCACCAACAGGGCCCAUGCACUUGAUCUCUGCCUUGUCUCUAUGAGUAGGUACACUUUGAGCAAAAUAUGAAGGAGUUUUACAACUCCCAGACUCCACCAAUGUGAAGAACCUAGAUCUAUGAGCACAAACACGCUGGAGAUACUGGACACUCAUGCAAACACUGCCCUGAGAUGCUUGAGGACGUAACUACUGGAGUAACCGCUUUGUGGAAGUAAUUACUGAUCUUCUGCCGGUUAAGAGAAACAAUCCAGGACGCCCCGUCAUCCCGAUCUCCAUCGGCAUGGUGGACUUCCUAGAAGCACUUUCUUGCAGAUUAGACACUAAGUUUCCCAAAGGGAAUAUUGAAGAGCCUCUGCGUCCGAGUUGGUACCUUGUACGCCCCAGCAGACUUCUUGGUAAUAGAGACUGGUACUGAUGAGAGGGCACCCAUCAUUCUAGAGAGGCCAUUCCUGAACACCUCGAGAGCUGUCAUCUACGCUAGUGCUGCCAAGAUCAGUUUCUUCAUCAAGGGGACGAAGGAGACGUUUUCCUACAAGAACAAAACUACACAAAUCUCAGAGCAAUCCUGACAUGAACCAAGGAAAGGACCAACAGGAGGAACAGGAACAAGCAAGUGUGGACCAAGUCAGCUAAGAUGGUCACUGCAGUUCAAGGAGGUCAAGAUCAUCUAUUUUAGUCACCGUUUCUGACCAAAAAGGACGACUCAGUCACCUAUCAGCUUCUGUUCGGAACCAUGCCCUUAAAACCGACAUACACCCAGCUCCAGAUGGCAGAUCAAACAUUUCGGGAAGUUGAAGUUAUUGACAUAGGAGAAGACGAGUACGAUCCACCCAUCAUCCUUGGAAGACCGUUCCUCAACACCGUUAAAGCAAUCAUCUACAUUGGAACCGGCGGAGUCCACAUGCACUUCCCCUCUGAAAAGGUCAGGACAAGAAGAAGAUGACGCAACCGCAACCAGAGGAGGCAAAUCAUCAAGGACGGAUGGGUAGACUAUGAAGAAGAAGUUGUAAGGUCUGAAGACAUACAGCUUGAACAGAACUGUCCUGAGGAGACCGUAGCAACGAGUCAGGUGUGGAGAGAGAAGAUAGUUAUACACGAAGAGGAGACGCCGUCAGAACCACCGACUACGCCAUCCAGCGAAUCCAGGACAACAGAGAAAAUGGAGAGUCCCGUUCGGAGGACUUAAAAACACCGCACGCCUUGCCAAGAGGUAAACUUGGUAGUUAUCUUUUCCCUUUCAACUAUUUAAAAUAGUUUGCUUAGUUAAUCAGGUUCAUAUCAUCACGAAAAGAAAAUAAAAAUGUUUAAAAUAGUAAGCCCCAUGUGAGUAUGCUCAUGGCAUAAAACCCAUAAGUACAUUCACUGUGGUGGUGUAAAAAUGAAAUAAAUAUAUUCCUGUCCUAUAAAAAUAAAAUUAUAAAAAUAAAUUUAUGAUCCUACUAAAGAGUGUAACAUUUAUUGAGGAGGCUCAACAUGAUAAAGGCUAGGUAUUAUGCUAACACUUAACCAGUUCCACAAAGCUUUGUUGUCUAUUUGAGCUCCACAGAAUUCAAGGAUCAAAGAAGACUAGCAGACGGAGGACAUCCUAAUCGUUGACACAGUGCUGCCGACAUUCAAAUACACCUCCGCCAGCUGCUAGCUACAUUAGAAGAAAUUGUGUCAAAAUCCAGCUUGGGGGAGAGCACCCCCAUUUAUCCAGCUAAGUGUUCUACUCACGUUUAUAUUUUACUCAAAUAAUAAAAAGAUGCAUAAUCAUAAAAACCCAAAUAAAUAUUUUGUGCUUAUAUAUAUCUUUGCUUAGUUUGCUAAAUAAAUAAAUAAAUAAAGUUUGCUAUGAACCCUCAUGAUAAGCUCUCACAUGGAAAUGAUGAAUAAUUGCUCUACCAUGACUAGUUCUUAAAUUGAAAUCUCUCUCAAGUUAGGCAUGACUGGUAUUAAUUAAGAUUUGCUCUAAACCUAAACUUGUGGGCAGAGUACUUGAUCUAAAGUCUAAGUUGUUAACAGAUAUGAUAUGGGAAGGUUGAGCUGCUGUUUAUCUGUUCCUAGAGAUGCUAGAAUUCUGGAGAAUUUUAUCUUUGAAAAUCUUUAAAAUGUUGCAUGAUGAGUUCCUAUAUGAUUAGAGUUUAAAUUCCUACCACAGCCAUAUAUACAUGCUUGCUAGACUUUGAGCCACACAUUUACUUUUUACUGCUUAUGAGCAUUGAGUGUGGUCAAGCUGUGUAGACCCUUAGAAGCUUGUCAUGUGGUUAAGUCAAGAUUCACUUGCACGUUCACUCACACAUGUUGCUUCUACUCCGGAAGUACGCAUCCACAUAUAUCCAUCCAUUUCCAUCUCCAGAACCACCCAAAAAUAUUCUACUCUUAAUCUGGGAGAGAAUAGCCAAAAAUAUUUCUGUUUUUCCCCUGUGAAAUAAAUGCUCAAGUUAUCUUGUUACUACCACUUGCUAUAUUAUUUCAAGAGAUGAGUGCUCUAAAAAAAAGAGAGAAAAAAAAGAAAGAAUAUGAGGAAAUAAAAAGGGGCAAGUGCCCGGAACCUCGAAAGAAAAAAAAAAGUGAGACGAGAGGUAAAAAUGGACAAGUGUCCGACAGUAGAAUUAGGGGUACAAGAUACCCACCCGAGAGAAAAGAAAAAGAAAAUAUAGAGCAUCUCAUUCUCCUCAAAAAGAUUUAAAAGAGUAAGAAAGGUAUGUAUCCCCUCAAAAGAGCACAAGUAGAAUUAGACUUUCACCAUUGUUAUCACCAUCAUCACCAUACACCAUUCAUUCGCCACACAUGCACAUCUUGAUUUGACUUAUUGACUUGUUCUUCUGGAUCCAUAGCUUGACUAUGCAAUAAAUGUCUUGUAAGUAUGUAUUAGCUGUCUCCCACCUAUGAGCUCUAGAUAUUAAAGCCUUAUUAGAGUAGGAUGAGAGAGAAGGCAAUGUCACUAUGCCUUAUGCCACAAAUACCACAUACUUUGAGAGAAGGCAUAUACCAUUACUACCUUGGUAAGGAUCCAGAAAUACCACAAAAGAGAGACUAGAGAGAGUCAUACAAGGAAUCUCUGAGUUUUAUUUGAAAAUCUACAAAAACUCCAGAGCUGUAGUUAAUCGAAGAACAAGAGACAUGGUGCUUGACUAGACUGUUCUGUCUUUUAACUACUCAAGACAGAAGUGACGGUUACAAGUCCCAUGGUGAAAGGUAAAUGAGUAAGUUUUAAGUCUUAACAGUUUACUCUAACCAGAGAUGAGAUCUUGUUUAAACGCAUGUGUAUCUUUAAGUUAUGAAACCACUGCAGAAACUCUUGAGUUCAUCUUUGCUCAGGGACGAGCAAAGAUUAAGCUUGGGGGAGCUUGUUGACGGUCCUUAAUGCUCACAAUUAACCAUCAACUAAUCAUAGAAAAGGAUCCAAAUGCAACCAACACCUAGACUUAGGGUUUUAUCUGAUAGAAUUCCACAAGUUUUGGUGUUUGUCUAUUUCUGCAGGGGGUUAUCAGGAAAUACGAAAGAAAGGCCC
This 57368-nucleotide long non-coding RNA is filed under the name Sorghum bicolor (sorghum). Its description in RNAcentral is "long non-coding RNA (SBIC_LNC006822)". The stretch from base 26774 to 26880 matches the Rfam family "Plant small nucleolar RNA R71". The record is from RNAcentral. Lineage: Eukaryota; Viridiplantae; Streptophyta; Magnoliopsida; Poales; Poaceae.